UUUCUCUCUCCUAUUCACCUUCUUCCUCCCAUUUCACCUUCGCUCAAUCCCUCACUCCGUCAUUCUUUUUCUUUCUUUUUAUCCCUUGUUUAACCAAGCCCCCUCCCCUUCCACUGUUAAACUCACAAGACCUCCCCAUACUUAGCUUUAGGCUUUAAAAUUGAUAAUAAGAAUCACUCCACCAUUUUGUAUUAUUAUUAUAAUUGUAAUGAUUUUGAAAAACUUAAAGUAGAUAUAAUUUUAAAUUUCAUAUAACUUAUAUUUUAUACUCUCAUUUGAAAUGAAAAAUGAGUGAUCUUAUAGUUACGUGUGAAUUUCAUUUUUUGUGAUUUCACUAAAUUUUCGACUCAACUUUAAGGAUGAUUUCUUUCUUUAUUAUAAUUCAGUGACGGUCGAAAUUUUAUCAUUUUUUUCAUCGGAAAAUUCCUUUUCACAGUUAAAAAUGGUGGCUUACACAUGAUGCCUCUCCACUUUUCUUAUCACUUUGUCAUUUUAAUCAAAAAAUAAACACCGACUAAAAUAAAAUCCUCCAUCAUGAAAAUUGAGAUGAUUUCAUUGAGGGCUAUGUCCUUUGUUUUUCAAAGCUUCAACGUCAAUUGGAUUUGGGGAAGCUGGACAAGAUGGGUUUUAUAAAGAAUUUUAAAAAUUAUUUGUACUGACAUUUUAAAUUUGUUUUUGCCAUUAAUCUUUCUCCUUUACGUGCGCCAGUUACGUGAAUACAAACAUAGGCUGAAUUAUGUGUCAAAUUUGCUCAUUUACAAUGGUCAAUCUUUAUAACUUUUGUGGUGUACUAGGACGCUCGCAUACAUAAGGUGUCAUUCAGUAAAUUCGGAUAAUUUCAAUGAUAACUUUAUGUCUUUUCUCUCUUUUUUUAUUAAAAAAAAAAAAAGGAAUGAGGGCUUCGUUUUGCAAGACAAUGAAGAUGGUUAUAUUCACCACAAGAGUUGUGGUGAAGUGAUAUGAUAAGUACUUUGUUGUGAUGGAGUAGCUCCUUCAUUCUUAAUUAAAAAUCUCAAUUUCGAGUCCACUCCACCCCCACCCCACCCCACCCCACCCCCACUAGGUGCAAAUUUUCCUUUGCUAAGGAGCGUAUUAUCCCCAAUGUGAAACUUUCUUGUAUGAAUUCGAAUUUAGUCAAACUUCAAUAUGGGUAUCAAAUACUCUAUUGGAAACGCCCCACCAAAAAAGAGUGAUAUAUUUAUAGGAAAAAGGACAUGGGCUGUCCAUUUUUUAAAAAAAUGACCCACAUUUGAAAAGGUGGACAUGAGUUUUUUAGUUGGCUAAACUAAUUUCUUUUUUAGUCAUUUGGCUCAAUUGGUCACAUGCAGUCUCUAUACUCAAUUGAUACACUUUUAUACUAAAUUGAUACACUUUUAUACUAUAUUGAUACACUUUUUAAAAAAGAGAAAGAAUUUUUAUGUAAGUACGUGCAGUCCCUAUACCCAAUUGAUAUUCUUUUAUACCAUAUUAAUACACGUUUAUACUACAUUGAUACACUUACAGUGUCCAUAUACUCAAUUGAUACUCUCUUAUAUUAGAUUGAUACAUUUUUAGAAUGCAUGUAGAAAAUAUAUAGAGUCGUAUAAAAUAUAUAUAUAUAAAUAAUAAAUAUAGUUAAAAAUUGUAUAGAAUGUGUAUAAAAAUGCUAUAAUUAUUAUAUAGAAUAUGUAUAUGUAUAGAAACUGUAUCAUUAUUAUAUAUAAAUAUAUAUCUUUAACAAUUGUAUUUUAUAAAUAUGUAUAAUUCAUGUCACUUUAUUUCCAGUAAUCAAAAGUUUGCAUUACACUAUGCUGUUAAAUACAAGGAUAUUUAUAAGAUACAGGCACCAAGUUUUUUUUUUUUUUAAAGUUUUAUUUUUACCCGGAGGAACUAAGGCCUCUGUUGUUAGCUAGUUAAUUAAUCUAUGUUGUCCUUGAUGGAAAAAAGAAGGUUCAAAUUUGUGUCGUGUAGUUGUUUAAACAUAAGAAUUUCAUUUAAACUUUUAUUCGAAUGAUAACUUUCUACUCUGAUCACUUGAUUCGAACAACAGAGCACAGAUGUUAGCUGUCAUUAAGAUAAAAAAUGUCAUUCUACAACAUUAAAACGAGCGAAAUAAUACUGUACCUGUAAACACCUGUCGGUGGCCCAGUACACAAAACGGAAAGGGACGAAUUUUGAAGCUUAAUGGCUAUUUACUGAGUUUUUAAAUUUAAGUGCUAGUUUUGUGGAAUUAUUUUAAUUUUAUGUGUUAUUUUUGUCCUUUCCCCAUAUUUAUAUUCAUAUUGGAUUUGUGUCGGAGCAAGUCCGAUAAAUUUCGGUGAUAAAAGUAGAUAAUUUUGUGUGGACUAAAAUAAAAUGUCAUUAUCAUUUUUGUUGUCCUUUAUUCACGUUGUUAAAGAUCGAUUUUCGACAUGAGUUAAAUACAAAGGACUUUUCAAAAAUCAUUAUACUUGGGAGUCUUAUUAAAAAUCUAUCAUGAUAGUUUAUUUAUAACAACAGUUUGUGAUGUUAGGCCAAAAUAAAAAAUUUGAGAUCAGUAAGAUUGGUAGAGAAAUAGGUGAGUGGCAAGCGAGAUUUGGAGAGUGACAAGAGAGAUGCUAGAGAGAGGACGAAUACAGAUUGUAUUGAUGAAUUCAAUUUGCGUAUCUUCAAAGAUCCAAACAACAAAAAAUUCGGAAGACUAUCAAUUCAGCUAAUUUUUCUUCUAUUCAUGCACAUAUUUAGGAGAGCGGAUUAUAAUUUGGGAAAUCAAUCCUCAUCAACAAAAUAAAAGUUUAGAUAGUUAACCAACUGAGUUACGUAUUAACAUUUUCCUUCCUGAUAGUUAUUGAGAAUUCACUUUUAAAAUUUUCACUUUUUGUUUUUGUUUUUUGUUUUUUCAUAGUAAUCAUACACACUUUUGCAUCUUUAGUGUUUCAUUGAAAUAAGAAAAGAAAAUCAACAUGGGUUGUGGUGUAGUGGUGAGACUACUUCACCCUAAUUCAGAGGUUUCGGGUUCGAGCCGGCCUGUGCACGAAAAAAAUUCUAUUGAGAGCGUAACCUCAGAAUGGGCCCUGCAGUGCGCAAUCCGGAUUAGUUGGGGCUCCAGUUAGGAUAUCGGACACCGGUCGAAGGGAAAUAAAAAAAAAGGAAAAACAAUCUGUUUUUAUGAAAUCUAUGUUCAACCAAACAUUAAGAGAGAAAUCUUUUAAAUUUUUGCAUAAACUGGAAUACUUGUCAAUUUAGCUAGAUGUUUGAUUAAAUUUCAGUUUCAAAAUUUUUAAACAGAAAUCACCUAUAACUAAACAUACAUUAACUAAAUAAGAUCCUAUAUUACUACCAACUAGGGUUAUGGUGAAGUGGUAACACUACAAGAAAAAGGUUUAUUUAAGAUUAACUUUCAGAGAUGAGUCAGUAAUUUGGUCUCUAAAAGUAUACUUAUUAGGACGAGAUUAAAUUACGGUUCUUAAUAUUAUAUUUUAUUGAAAAGGUAAAAAAUUUGGUCCCUAAUUAUUUUUUAGCUGGUCCCUAAUGUUAAUUGGGAUCUUUGAGAGGGAAAAAUAACGCCAAAAUAAAAUAUUAGGUACCAAUUCUUUUUACUCUUAUUAACAUUACUGGAAAUUAAAGAAGGGAUAUCUUUAUAUUAUUUACCCAAAAAGAAAAAGAGCUCGUCCAGCCGCCUCUCUAGCUAGCAUAUAUGAUCGAGUACUGUACGCCUUCUAUCCUCGAACAAAAUUCAGCUGCUGGUCGCAACAAAUCAAACACUAUAUGCACCAGCAAGUUACCGAUUUUCCAAUUGCUUCUUCAAUUUUGUGGAUUAUUGCAGCCAAUAAUUUUUUCAUAUUUUGGUUUAUCGAUCUAUCGCGAAUUCGAGGUAUGAUUUAGUUUUUGGUUAUUGCAAUAAUAAUUUACCCUAAGACGAUUUUCCAAUCUGAUGGUUAUUGCAACUAGUAAUGUGCCCUAAUCUCUUUCUUCCAAAGUUGUUCUAAAUUAGUCUUAUUUCUAUCCGAAUCUGUUAUUUUUUUUAAUUGUACAACUCAUAAUUCAGUAUGAAAUUUGUCAAUUUGGGGUUGGUCAACUAUCGUCUCUCUAUCGUAUAGCUACUAGGAAUAGCAAUAGCGGGUGUGGAUUGGGGCUGGUUUACUGCUACGCGGGGCAAGGCGUGGUGCGAUAGAGAGCCUUAAAAUUUUAAAACUAUGGUGGUGUGGUGAUGGAAUCGCUGAUAUUUUUGGAAGAAGGUUUGGGUCAGAAAAGUUGUGUUAGUUUUGUUUUCGAACUUUAGAAAAAAUUGAAUUCUUUUUGUCCUUUUUGACACCCUUUUAGUUUCUUUUUGACACCCUUUUAGUUUCUGUUCAUGUGUGUGGUUAACAAAUGCUAUAGGAUGAAAUGCUUAACCACAAUCCUAUGUGUUUUUCCUCAUAUCGAAAUGGUUUUUUACUUUCUAAUUAUAGGUAAAGAUUGAAUUUUUUCUUUUUCUUGGCACCCUUAUAAUUUGUGUUAUGGGUGUGGUUAGCAAAUACUAUAUGGUAAAAUGCUUCAUCAUAAUGUUCUGUGUUUUUUGUCAUGUAAAAUGGAUUUAAAUGUUGUUUUAUUGUUCUUUUUGCUUUCUAAUUUUAGGUGAAGAUUGAAUUUAUUUCUUAUUUUCUUGGCACCCUUUUCGUCUUUGUUCAUGGGUGUGGUUAACAAAUAUCCCUAUAUUAUAAUAGUCCUUUCUAUUUUGUUUUACUCGUAUCAAAAUUGUACAAUGUUGCGCAUUUUAGGCCCAAUAGGUGGACAGAGAAUAUUUUUGCGCAAUUUCACAUAGUUGAAGGGUAUUUUAGGCCCUUUUCCUUUGUUUUUAUAGGUUAUUAGUUGUAAGCUAGUUCUUCUAUUGAGGUUCUUAAUGAUAACUUUAUCAGGUAGGUUACUAGUGAUGUGGAUUUUGAUAAGUAUCCUUGCACAUAAUUUUUAUUAUUUAAUUUUCCUCUGUCUAAUAUUUUAUGUAUUUUACAAGGUUAUGACACCUAGUAAGCAGUGGAUACAAUUUAUUAUUGACCGGGAUAGUAAAAUAUACAAAAGUAAGGUGAAAAAGUUUUUGAAUUAUGCUUUUCGAAAAACAUGACAAGAACAUGAAAUACGAUGUCCAUGUAACAAAUAUUGCAAUACUACUUUAGGAACUCGUACAACAAUUGAGACACAUUUAAAAGUACAUGGAAUACUUCAGAAUUAUACUUUUUGGUUUCAACAUAGAGAACGCUUGGGUGAACCGUUAUCUGAAUCCGAAUCCGAAUCUGAAGAUGAAUAUGAUGUUGAAGUGGAAGAAUGUGAUAGUGAAGAUAAAGUAGAAGAAUUAUUGAGAGAUUUGUAUCCUAAUCUUGAUGGUGGACCUACACACACUAAUUGUGUUGAAGAGGAGCCAAAUGUUAUAGCAGAACAAUUUUAUGAACUAUUGAACGAUUUUGAGCAGCCAUUGUAUCAAAAUUCAAAAGCGUCAAAGUUUUCCACUUUGAUUAAAUUGCUUCACAUCAAAAGUAUGGGUCGUUGGAGUAAUGCAUCAUUUACAAUGUUAUUGAAAAUAUUGAAAGAGGAGUUGUUGCCUGAUGGUGCCGAUUUGCCAAACUCAUAUUAUGAGGCAAAGAAAAUAAUUCGAGAACUCGGACUUUCUUACAAUAAGAUAGAUGUUUGCACUAAUGAUUUCAUGUUUUAUUGGAAGGAAGAUAGCUCACUCGAUUCUUACAAAAUUUGUAGUGAGUCUAGAUGGAAAAUAGAUACCCAUAGCGGAGAAGCAUAGACAAAAAAGGUAAAAAUAUAGCAACAAAGAUUUUACGCUAUUUUCCCUUAAAGACUAGACUUCAGAGGUUGUUUAUGUCUUCAAAGACGUCUACUCUAAUGACAUGGCAUAAGGAUAAAAGGGUUGAUGAUGAAAUAAUGAGGCACCCAGCUGAUUCAAUGGCAUGGAAGUCACUUGAUGAACAUUAUCCUUCAUUUGCUGCCGAGCCCCGUAAUGUUAGACUUGAACUUGCUAGUGAUGGAUUUUAGCCAUUUCGAAAUUCAAAAAAUCACAUAGCAUUUGGCCUGUGAUUUUUAUUCCUUAUAAUUUACCACCUUGGUUGUGUAUGAAACAAGAAAAAUUUAUUUUGUCAAUGCUUAUUCCUGUUCCAAAUGGUCCAGGAGAUGCAAUUGAUAUAUAUCUUCAGCCUUUGAUAGAGGAAUUGAAUGAGUUAUGGGAAAUAGGUGUUGAUACCUAUGACGCAUCAGCUAAAUGGAAUUUUAUGUUGCAUGCAUCUUUGUUAUGGACCAUCAAUGACUUUCCAGCAUAUGAAAAUUUAUCUGGAUGGAGUACCAACGAAAAAUUGGCAUGUCCAUGUUGCAACAAAGACAUUUCCUCAAUUUGAUUGACAAACAUUAAGAAGCAGUGUUUUAUGGGUCAUCGAUGUUACCUUCCUCUUAGUCACAAAUGGAGAUAUGAGAAGCAGUUCUUUGAUGGUACAGUAGAUAAAAGGCCACCCCCAAAAAAUUGUUCUGGUACAAAGAUACUUAAUCAAGUACAAGAUCUUGAAGGACAACAAUUAUCAAGAGAUCUAAAAAAAAGGAAGAAGAUGUCACAUAAAGUUCGAAAAGAUAACUGGAACAAGAAAAGUAUCUUUUUAAACUUCAUAUUGGGAGUAUCUCUAAUUGCGACAUAAUUUGGAUGUUAUGCAUAUUAAAAAAAAUGUGAGGCUUUUAUGGGGACAUUUAUGAAUGUCAAAGGAAAGACUAAGGAUACAAUAAAUACUCGAUUAAACUUGCAAGAGAUGAACAUUAGGCCAAAAUUACACCUCAUCCAAAAAGGGGAGAAAGUUGAAGUUCCAACUUCAUGCUACACAUUACCUCCUGAAGAAAAGCACAAUUUUUGUCUUUUCUUAAAGAAUCUGAAAGUUCCUGAUGGUUUUUCAUCUAAUAUUUCUCAGUGUGUAAACUUAAAAGAUCACAAGAUAUCUCGGUUGAAAAGUCAUGAUUGUCAUGUUCUUCUACAACAUCUACUCCCUCCUGCACUUAGUGGUAUGUUGUCUAAAGAAGUGUAUGAAUCAAUUAUUGAUUUAUCUUAUAUUUUUAGUGUUCUUGGAUCCAAGGAGUUGAGAACUGAUGAUUUGAAACAUAUCGAAGUGAAAAUUUCCAUCACACUUUGCAAGUUAGAAAAGGUCUUUCCUCCUUUAUUUUUUGAUGUCAUGGUGCACUUGCCUAUUCAUUUAGCUACAGAAGCUAAGAUUGCUGGGCCUAUUUAUUAUAGGUGGAUGUAUCUUGUGGAACGAUCGUUGUAUUUUUUGAAAUCUCUCAUUGGUAAUAGGGCAUUCCUUGAAGGUUCUAUUGCAGAGGGCUAUAUUGUAAAUGAGUGUAUGACCUUGUGUUCAGGGUACUUGCAUAAAAUUGAUACAAAAUUCAAUCGGCCUGAAAGAAAUUAUGAUGGGGGUGUAAAAUAAUAUGAUGGAGGUUUAUCUAUAUUUUAUCAACCUGAAAAAAUUUUGGGAGCUAAAAAUCCAUGUGAGAUUUCGACCGAUGAAUCGGAACAAGCACAUAUAUACAUAUUGAAGAAUUGUGAUGAAUUCUUACCAUAUCUCAAGUAUGGGAAGAACACAUGUAGUCUCAUUUUUAUUAUUUCCUUUAGGGUAAUUUUCUUUCUAUAUGAGAUUUAUGAUUCACUUUAAUUUUGUAGAGAAAUUGCACAAACUUAAAAGGAUACUAUUAGACACUUGUCUGAUGCUGAAUGGAAUCGACAAUUUAUUGAAUGGUUAAAAGAUAGGAUAAGUAAUACAUAACCAUAAAAUUUAAUAUUUUAAUAUUAUAUUACUCAUUCUAAAGUAUUUAGUGCAAUCUUAUUCAUAGGUCCCACAACUGCAUAAAGGAGAUGAUAGUCGCACAACUGCAAAAUUUGAGUUCAUCAUAUUGUUCAUGUUCUGGUCGUUUCUUGGUAAAAAAGUUUGAUAGUAUUUGCUAUGCAUUAACUUAUCCCAUAUUUUGAUUAUUGUAGGAUAAAUUUGAGGGUGUUGAACUGACUGAUCAUCGUGAACAUAUUUUGAGAUGGAUGAAUGAGUUAUGAAACAAAUGGAGAGGAUACUUAUAUGGAAAAUAUGUGAAGAAUAAGUCACUUCAACAAGCUCUGAAGAAUAAGUCAUAUGGAAUAGACAAGAAAAAAUGGGAGUGGUUGGUAAAUGAACAUUUUUCUUCUGAAGCUUUUCAGGUAUGCAAGUAAUUUUAUUUGUUGCAACUCAAUGGUUUCUAGAUAGAUUUCCUUGUGGAGAUUUAUGCAACUCCCUUUUGUUUUAUAAUUUUUAUUUGUAUUAUUAAAAUUUAGCUAAUUAUUUUAUAAAUAUAGGUGAAAAUCCAAAGGAAUGUAGCGAACCGAGCUAAGUUGACGAUGCUUCAUCACAUGGGUAGCAAGCCUAUUCAAGAUUUUAUUUUUGAAAAGAUAUUAUCACAUAUUUAUUUUCCUAAAAAAAUAUUUAUGAGGUGUUAUUUGACAUGUUUGUCUUUGAUGUAAAAGAGAGCAGGAAAGAUGGCAAUCCACCAGAUGUGGGAACUAUUUUCUAUGAGAGUCGAAAGAAAUAUAACAAGCUCGUUGAACCUGAAGCAAUUCAAAAACAUGUGCGUUUGGUAAAAUUAAUAAGUAUAUUAGUUACCUGAAAUUUUAUGGAAUAAUGAUAGAACAUAUUUAUUUCUAUAUUUUGCAGGCUCAAAAGUGUUUUGGACCUCAAAAUCAUAGCCAUGUUGUUGCAUUUGGGGGUGGAGUAAUGUAACGCCCCAAAUCUGGUACCCGAAAUGUUACACGGUGCUCAUGACCCCGAAGGACCACAAGCUAACCCAUGACUGAUAUCUGUACCUAUAUACUGCAUAAUGUACUGUAUAAAAGUGGAAACGUGAACUGAAAGACCAUAAGGUUCACAUAAUUGAACUAAAACAUAACAUCUGGUGGGGUCUAAAACACCCAAAACAAAACUAAAAUAACUAUCUAAAAGAUAAUAGUCAGGAAAGCCUCUAAAAUAUGGCUGUCUGAAUAAGGAGUUGAUGGGACAUGUCCCCAACUAACUCCAACCAAUAAACUAAUUAAUGAGAUAAUAAAGAAAUAAUCAUGUCCUCAAAGGAUGAGGACUCACUGCUAGCUCUGACUGCGGAUAUCUGAAAUUUACUGAUGCUCGAGAGCUCGUGUCUCUGAACCUAUGGUAUAGAAACACCAUAGCGCGAAUGCGUCAGUACGACUGAAUAUACUGGUAUGCAUGUGCGUUAGGCUAAAUGUAAGGGAUUCAUAUGCAUGAACAAUAAGAACGGACUAACUAUCAUGAGCGUGAGAAUACACACAUGAGACAUAAUAACUAACACUGAUACCAUGAUAACAUGAUUACUGAAUUUGAAUACUGAUAACAUGACAUAGUGAUAACUAAUAUAACUGAUAACAUGAGUGACUGUAUUUGACAGUCCUAAAUCUGAUGGAACUAACCGAAUUUUGUGUUGUAUCUAAGUUGAUUGUAUCUGACAGUCCUGAAAUCUGAAGAACUAUAUAAGUUCUUUUACUGAUACUGAUACUGAAACUGUGGGAGGUAGUUAUUUAAUCGACAUGCCCCUAAUAUGCCAUUAUGUUUGAGUUGGGGUCUAAUUUGUAACCCUAAUUGGAAGGGUGUCAAUAUCACGCCACUGGUAAGGACAAGCUGUGGGUGACCCUUAUCUGAUAGUGUCCCCAAGAGAGAAUGGUGGGGCUCUUAUCUGAUAGUGCUUGUCCACCCCAUCAACCCUCAUCAGAUAGUAUUGAUGUCUCAGCUUAUGCUGGCUACAUAGUUCUGAAACACAAGGAUGACUUCUAAGGAUCACACCCUUAUCUGACAGUGUGUGUCCCCAUCCUUGGGUUCACUCAGUGCUAAUUCCUACUCCCAUCUGAUUAGACUCUGAACAUGAUUAGUUGAACUGUACGUGGACUGAGUUACUACAUUUCGUUGACUGAUGGAAUACUAUUGAUAUCUGAUAACUGACUGAGUUCAUAAGAACAUGGAGAUUUUCUGAGUCAUAAGACUGUCUGAAGUCUAAGGAUUCAUAGCUUGACUGAGAGUAUUGUGAAAACAUGACAUGGAUCUAGGCACACAACUAAUGUUUCGGGUACAAGUACCCCCAGGACUCAAUGGAAGGAAACUGACAAACAUGACUUACUUGAACACAUGACUAAUAGCAUAAUCCAUAAUUCAUUCACUGAAGCAUUUCAUCAAACAUGUGAUAGGCAUAAAUUUGUAGAUACAUGCGGAUUUCAUGAUAUCAUGCUAGUUGGGCAUUUUCCUUCAUAUAUCCAUUUAAUCAAACACAUUGUAGGCAUAGAAUAUGUAGAUAACAUUAUACAACAAUUAAACAUCAUGGUUCAAUUCUAAUUUCAUCAUUCAAGGGUUUAAUCAUAGGUUGUCAUGAAUCCAUAUAGAGUUUAUUACCUAAUCAUGGAAUAGGAUCCAAUUAUACAUUAUCAAAAUGAAAAAGCUGCCCAAUCAUGAAAUUCAUAAAAAAGAUCCAUAACUUGAAUUUAGAAAAGAGAUUCUUGAACUUCAUGGACGAAAGGGGUCUAUGAAUAAACACUAUGCAUACCUUAGUGAUUAAUUCUUGAAAAAGAAUUGACCUUUCUUGAAUGUUCUUGGAUUGGGAAUCUUAAUUCUUGAAUAUCUUGUGGAAAGUGUGAUGGGGUCUUGAAGUUAAUUGAGAAGAAAUCCUAAGUUUGUUCUUGGGAACAAAGAGGGAGCUUUUAAAACUAAAUACCAAUAGCUAAUUACAUAUUUUUGGUGUUUUAUGUCGUGGGGGGUGAGGUUUAGGGUGAGGGAAAAAGACCAAAAUACCCCUACAAAAUCACUUCUCAGUUACUGAAAUUAUCAGCUGACGAUCAAGACUGAUAAGCCGUCAGAUCUGUGAUAGCCCGUCAGCCCAUGUCAUCACCUGGGAGCUGGUCUAUCUAAGCUUGAAAACAUGGGCUGAUAAGCCGUCAGGUCUGUGAUGGCCCGUCAAACAUGUCAUCACUUGGGAGCUGAAAUCGGUGGGUUUCUGCCUAAGUUUGACGACAUGGAUGAUAAGUUAUCAGAUCUGUGACGGUCCGUCAGAUAUAUCAUCACCUGGGAGAUAAAUUGAUGGGUUUUGCCUAAGUCUGACGACGUGUCUGAUAAGUCAUCAGAUAUGUGACGGCCCAUCAGAUAUGUCAUCACUCAGUUGCCAGGCUGACAUGCUGGAGUAAAAUGAGUAUAACUUUUUGGUCCGAUAUCGGGUUUGGGCGAAAUUGGUAUCGAUAGAAAGCUCACUCGAUUUUCCACGUGAAAAAGUGAAAAUAUUAAAAAUACCACAUGUACAAAAGUGGAUUCAUAGUUCAAAUAAAUUUCUAUAAUUCUCGAGAUGAUUUCGAGCUAGGAAAAAAGGAAGGGUAUUACAAUAUCUCCCCCUUGAGAACAUUCGUCCUAGAAUAAGACUGAGAAUGGGGGGAAGGACAUAAACUGACAUACAUACUGAACAUGAGUAACUAAAAUAUGAUCUCAUAACUGACAUGACUGAUAACUGAACAUAUCAUACUGAACAUGCAUAUCUGAUGCAUGUGUAAUUGAUUCAUGAAUGCAUGACUGAAUGUUCUGAGGAACUAAGUUUCUCACAAUGAGAAUGCAUGGCUUAUGCAUAAUUAUAUAUAACUAAACUGAUACAUGAAUGCAUGACUGAAAUACAAUGGUACUUGAUACCAAGUUGUGACAAACACCGAACAUGAAACUGAGUAAGCUUAAGGAGAACUGUUACCUUGAGCUUGAUCCGACUAUCAUCUCCUUUAUGAUCCGACUAUCAUCUCCUUUAUGCAGUUGUGCGACCUAUGAAUAAGAUUGCACUAAAUACUUUAUAAUGAGUAAUAUAAUAUUAAAAUAUUAAAUUUGAUGGUUAUGUAUUACUUACCCUAUCUUUUAACCAUUUAACUAAUUGUCGAUUCCAUUCAGCAUCAGACAAGUGUCUAAUAGUAUCCUUUUAAGUUUGUGCAAUUUCUCUACAAAAUUAAAGUGAAUCAUAAAUCUCAUAUAGAAAGAAAAUUACCCUAAAGGAAAUAAUAAAAAUGAGACUACAUGUGUUCUUCCCAUACUUGAGAUACGGUAAGAAUUCAUCACAAUUAUUCAAUAUGUAUAUAUGUGCUUGUUCCGAUUCAUCGGUCGAAAUCUCACAUGGAUUUUUAGCUCCCAAAGUUUUUUCAGGUUGAUAAAAUAUAUAUAAACCUCCAUCAUAUUAUUUUACACCCCCAUCAUAAUUUCUUUCAGGCCGAUUGAAUUUUGUAUCAAUUUUAUGCAAGUACCCUGAAUACAAGGUCAUACACUCAUUUGCAAUAUAGCCCUCUGCAAUAGAACCUUCAGGGCAUGCCCUAUUACCAAUGAGAGAUUUCAAAAAAUACAACCAUCGUUCCACAAGAUACAUCCACCUAUAAUUAAUAGGCCCAGCAAUCUUAGCUUCUGUAGCUAAAUGAAUAGGCAAGUGCACCAUGACAUCAAAAAAUAAAGGAGGAAAGACCUUUUCUAACUUGCAAAGUGUUAUGGGAAUUUUCACUUUGAUAUGUUCCAAAUCAUCAGUUCUCAACUCCUUGGAUCCAAGCACACUAAAAAUAUAAGAUAAAUCAAUAAUUGAUUCACACACUUCUUUAGACAACAUACCACGAAGUGCAGGAGGGAGUAGAUGUUGUAGAAGAACAUGACAAUCAUGACUUUUCAACCCAGAUAUCUUGUAAUCUUUUAAGUUUACACACUGAGAAAUAUUAGAUGAAAAACCAUCAGGAAAUUUUAGAUUCUUUAAGAAAAAACAAAAAUUGUGCUUAUCUUCAGGAGGCAAUGUGUAGCAUGCAGUUGGAACUUCAACUUUCUCCCCUUUUUGGAUGAGGUGCAAUUCUGGCCUAAUAUUCAUCUCUUGCAAGUCUAAUCGAGUAUUUAUUGUAUCCUUGGUCUUUCCUUUGACAUUCAUAAAUGUCCCCAUAAAAGCCUCACUUUUUUUUUUCAAUAUGCAUAACAUCCAAAUUAUGUCACAAUAAGAGAUACUCCCAAUAUGAAAGUUUAAAAAGAUACUUUUCUUGUUCCAGUUAUCUUUUCAAACUUUAUGUGACAUAUUCUUCCUUUUUUUUUAGAUCUCUUGAUAAUUGUUGUCCUUCAAGAUCUUGUACUUGAUUAAGUAUCUCUAUACCAGAACAAUUUUUUGGGGGUGGCCUUUUAUUUACUGUACCAUCAAAGGACUGCUUCUCAUAUCUCCAUUUGUGACUAAGAGGAAGGUAACGCCGAUGACCCAUAAAACACUGCUUCUUAAUGUUCUUAAUACUCACAUAAACUGUUUUCUACUCACAUAAACUGUUUUAUAGGUUUAAUUGUGAAUGAUGCUUUUCAAAUAGCAGCGAUAGUUGAGAAGCUACCAGCUUUGUGGAAAGACUUCAAAAAUUACUUAAAUCAUAAAUGCAAGAAGAUGACUGUUGAAAAUCUUAUUGUCUGACUUCGUAUUGAAGAGGAUAAUAAAGCUGCCAAAAGAAGGUCAAAGGGGAAUUCUACAAUUAAUGGAGCACAUAUUGUAGAAGAUGACUAAAACAAUUCUAAGAAAAUGAAAAAAGCUGAACAAGGAAGCAAUCAACCCAAGAAAAAGUUCAAGGGAAAAUGAUUCAACUAUGGCAAGAUUGGCCACAAGUCCAUAGAUUGUCAUGCCCCAAAGAAAGGAAAGAAGAAGGAUCAAGAAAAUAUGAUUGAAUCCAACAAAGAAUGUGAUGAUCUGUGUGCUAUGUUCUCAGAAUGCAACUUGACGGGGAAUCCUCGCGAAUGGUGGAUUGAUUUUGGGGCCACCCUCCAUGUAUGUGCCAAGAAGGAUUUGUUUUCGUUAUUCGCUCUGGCUCAAGUAGAAGAAACAAUCUACAUGGCUAACUCCGCUACGGCUAAGGUAUAAGGAAUAGGAAAAAUUUGCUUAAAGAUAACUUCCGGAAAGGUCUUGACAAUAAACAAUGUCUUGUAUGUUCCGGAGUUAAGUUGGACUUUAAUUUGUGUUUCACCUCUAGAUAAGAAUGGAUUCAAAUGUAUAACCGUUUCUGGAAAAAUUAUAAUUAGCAAAGGAGAGAUGUAUGUAGGAAAAGGCUAGCUGACUGAAGGACUUUAAUGUAAUGACUGUUGAAAUAAAUAAAAGUUCGAAUUCUUCUUAUUUUCUUGAAUCUUAUGAUUUAUGGCAUGAACAUUUAGGUCAUGUUAAUUACAAAACGUUAUGAAAACUGAUUAACUUAGAAGUUUUUCCAAACUUUGAGUGCAAUAAAUCAAAGUGUCAAACGUGUGUGGAAUCGAAGUAUGCAAAGCAUCCUUAUAAGUCCGUUGAAAGGAAUUCCAAUCCCUUAGACUUAAUGCACACUGACAUUUGUGAUAUGAAGUCAACACCAUCACGUGGUGGGAAAAAGUACUUCAUAACUUUUAUUGACGAUUGCACUAGAUAUUGUUAUGUCUACUUGCUAAAUAGUACGGAUAAAGCAAUAGAUGGAUUUAGGCAAUAUAAAACUGAAGUUGAAAAUCAGUUAGACAAAAAGAUCAAAAUGAUAAGAAGUGAUAGGGGCGGAGAAUAUGAAUCUCCCUUUGCAUAAAUAUGUGUAGAGAAUGGAAUAAUCCAUCAAACUAUGACCCCAUAUUCACCUCAAUCUAAUAGAAUUGUGGAAAUAAAAAACCAAACUUUGAAGAAAAUGAUGAAUGCCUUACUUAUAAGUUCUAGUUUACCGCAAAACUUGUGGAGGGAGGCUAUCCUUACGGCCAACCAUAUACUCAAUAAAGUUUUCCAUAGUAAGACAAUCAAUUCCUUAUGAAAAGUGGAAAGGAAGAAAACCCAACUUAAAAUAUUUCAAAGUGUGGGGGUGUCUAGCAAAGGUCCAAGUUCCUGUGCCUAAAAGGGUUAAGAUAGGACCUAAGAUGGUGGACUGUGUGUUUAUUGGAUAUGCUAAAAGUAGUAAAGCAUGUCGGUUUUUGGUUCAUAAAUCUGAACAUCUGGAUAUAAAUGAAAAUACGAUAAUUGAAUCAGAUAAUGCUGAAUUCUUUGAAAACAUUUACCCAUAUAAAAUUAGACAUGAACAGUCUAGUAGAGGAUCUAAACGACCUCGUGAUGAACCAAUUGAGAAUGAACAUAAUGAAGAAAAUCCAAGACGUAGUACACGUCAAAGAACGUCUACUUCGUUUGGAUUGGAUUUUGUGACAUUUCUUUUGGAAAAUGAGCCUCAAACAUUUAAGGAAGCGAUGGCAUCUUCAGAUUUAUCCUUUUGGAAAGAGGCAAUCAAUAGUGAUAUAUAUUCAAUCUUAAGCAACCAUACAUGGGAAUUGGUUGACCUUCCUUCCAAAAAUAAACCUUUAAGUUCUGAAUGGAUCUUCAAAAGAAAGAUGAAAGCAGAUGGUACUAUUGACAAAUACAAGGCAAGACUUGUAGUAAAAGGCUUCAAACAAAAAGAAGGACUUGAUUACUUUGAUACAUACUCUCCAGUAACAAAGAUAACGUCACUUCGAAUGUUAAUUGCCUUGGCUGCGGUAUAUGGUCUUGAAAUCCAUCAAAUGGAUAUGAAAAUCGCUUUCCUAAAUGGAGAAUUGGAGGAAGAAAUUUACAUGGAACAACCUGAGGGUUUUAUGGUUCCAGGGAAGGAGAAUAAGGUGUGUAGACUUAUUAAUUCAUUGUAUGGACUAAAGCAAGCACCUAAACAAUGGCAUGCCAAGUUUGAACAAACCAUGUUGGCAAAUGGAUUCAAAAUAAAUGAAUGUGAUAAAUGCGUUUAUAUUAAAGACACUCCAAAUCACCAAGUCAUUGUAUGUUUAUAUGUGGAUGAUAUGUUGAUCAUCAGUAGAGACAUUUCUGACAUAAAUGUAACAAAACGAAUGCUCGAGAGCAAGUUUGAUAUGAAAGACCUUGGAGUUACAGAUGUGAUCUUAGGUAUAAGAAUCCAUCGAACUCUAUAAGGGUUGGCAUUGUCACAGUCUCAUUAUAUCGAAAAGGUACUUGACAAGUUCAAGUAUAUGAAAUUCGGUAUUGCCAAGACUCCAUCGGAUGCGAGCUUUGCUCUUCGAAAGAAUGAAGGUGAAAGUGACUCGCAAUUGGAGUACGCAAGAGUAUUGGGAUGUUUAAUNNNNNNNNNNNNNNNNNNNNNNNNNNNNNNNNNNNNNNNNNNNNNNNNNNNNNNNNNNNNNNNNNNNNNNNNNNNNNNNNNNNNNNNNNNNNNNNNNNNNNNNNNNNNNNNNNNNNNNNNNNNNNNNNNNNNNNNNNNNNNNNNNNNNNNNNNNNNNNNNNNNNNNNNNNNNNNNNNNNNNNNNNNNNNNNNNNNNNNNNNNNNNNNNNNNNNNNNNNNNNNNNNNNNNNNNNNNNNNNNNNNNNNNNNNNNNNNNNNNGUAUCUUAAAUACACUUAAGACUAUGCCUUGCAUUAUAAUAAAUAUCCUGCGGUACUUGAAGGAUAUAGUGAUGCAAAUUGGAUCACCGGAUCGAACGACGUAAAAUUCACAAGUGGAUAUGUAUUUACUAUCAGUGGAGGAGCAAUUUCUUGAAAAUCAUCCAAAUAGACUUGUAUCGCUCGCUCUAUAAUGGAAUCUGAAUUUAUCGCAUUAGAUAAAGCCGAUGAAGAAGCAGAAUGGCUCCAAAAUUACUUAGAAGAUAUUCUGUAUUGGCCCAAGCCAGUGGCACUAGUAUAUAUACACUGUGAUAGCCAAGCGGCAAUAGGUAGGGCAGGGAGCAUGAUGUAUAACGGUAAAUCUCAUCAUAUAAGAUGAAGACAAAAUACCGUUAGAGAACUUCUCUCUAGUGGAAUUAUCAUUGUAGACUAUGUAAAGUCAAAGGAUAAUGUGUCAGAUCCACUUACAAAAGGUCUAUCUAGAGAAGGAGUAGAAAGGACAUCCAAGGGAAUAGGUUUAAGGCCUAGGACAAGUCAGCACGGCGGUAACUCUACGUAGCAGACUGGAGAUCCCAAGAGCUAGGUUCAAGGAGAUCAAACAAAGUUGUGUCUGGAAGGUUCAACAUUGUCAAUUACCCAACCCAUUCUCAUGAUGUAGACGAUGUAUAGUAAAAACAAGGAUAAGACUUAAGGUUAAAAGUCUUUUAAUGAUUAUCUAAAUUUGGCAGAUUUGACCAAACAGUUUUAAUCUACAGGAUUGAACGUUUAGAAAUCACCUAUGUGAGGGCGAAGUGGAAGCCACUUCGAAGAGAAUGUUAGUAAAGGCCUAUUCUUUAAGCUCUCAUAAAACCGGAACGUGUUCAUGGCUGAAAAGAAUAAAACCAUGAGAACCAUAAAAGUUAAAAGGCUGGUUGUGUGACAUGUAUUGUCUAGGUGUACAUUAAAGCUCGACGGUUUAAAGAUAUCAAAUCUACCCGAGUGCAUCCGAUGCAUGUUCACUACGGAAAGUUCAAAGGGAAAUCCACUUAUCCAGAUGCAAUCAGUUUUUGCUUGAUGAUCACAUACUUGUUCGUAAAACUUUUACAAAAAAUAGUCAUUCUCCACUCAUGUGGGGGAUUGUUGGGUUCAUAGUAAAUGAGAAGUGUGAAUGGAAGAUGGAGAAAAACCAAAUGAAAGAGAAAAAUUGAGAUCACACCAAUAUGAAAAGUGUACUCAAAAAAUAGGAAAGCUUACUAAAUUCUCCCACAUUGGUGGGAGAAAGAAGCUUUAAAGUGUUUAUAUUGUGAAAUACACUCCCACAUGAAUAAGUGAGACAAAGAAUAAGAGAUACCUCGCGUCGUCGUCGUCGUCGCUCGCUCGGCUCGGCUUCAGAUUUAGAUUUGGCAAAUGAUCGAUGAGAUCUAUCUUUUUGGACAAACUUUAUUUGAAUUCCAAAGAAUGCCAAGGAAAAAUGCAGUAAAUUUUUACUGCAGAGUUUCGGACCUCCAUUUAUAUAUACAUGCAGUAACAGUUGCAUUGUUUCAAGUGAACUGAUGCAUUGUUUUCGAACUGGUGCUUCAGAAAUGAUACAUUAUUCUGAACUGAGGCUAUAGAAGGUUGCAAUAUUUCGAAAUGAUGCUUCAGAAGGAUGUAAUCCUUCAAUGAAGUGACACACUGAUUCAUGAAAUGAGAUGACUGUUCAGGAAAAGAUGCAAUCUUUGAUGAACAGACAUGAACUUACAGCAAAGGUGUAACCUUUGGAGUGAACCAUUGCCUCUUUUCAGAAGAGGCAUGUUAUGACUAUAUAAACCUGCUUUAAUCCACAGGUUUUGAUACGAAAAUUUCAAAAUACAAAAUUACUUCUUCUCUUCCAAAUUACUCAGUGUGAUCAAUCAAAACGUUCUGUGCGUUCAAAGAUAUUCCAACCGUUUGAGGUACUGCUACAGUUGGUCUGUUUAGCCAUUUUAUCCUGGUAGGAAAAAUUCCACUACCUCGGAUACAGUGAGGGGAAUUAUUUACUUAAGGAAACUCCGUCAAUUCGGACGACUUGGCUAUUUUCUGUUUCAUCUUAAUUUCUGAAAAAAUAAAAUAUAACUCUUGGAAAGGUCAUUUUGAUCUUGUGUUAAGGGUAUUUGAUAUACUUCAUUGUGUUCUUAUUUAUACUUGAAUUCUAGUUGAAGUUAUUGUCCUGCAUAUACUGAUUCUGUGUACCCGAAGUACAAACGAGAAAUAACAACCAGUUAACUGAACUGAACUACUUAGAUUUUCGGAAGAUAUCAUUUAUACUAUUGACGUGAAUUACAAAUGAAUCACAGCCAAACUUUAAAGUAAAUUAAGUAGCCCAUGACGAGUGCUAUUUGCUGCUGUUUAAAUAUAUCAGUCAUUAGCAAACAGUCCCUACUUACAAAAUGAUGAGGCGUACCCUGAUAAUUUUGGUAUAAAUGCUUGAGCAUACUUUAUUUAAGAUUAAAAGAUUUAAAGAAUACUUUGAUAUAUUAUACGUAUUUUUAAUUAAAAUCAAGAAACUAAAAAUUUUCUCUCAUUUUCAUAAAAAUCGUGCCUAUUCAAAUUAUAAAACUAAGACAGUAUUUAAAAGAGAGUAGUACAUAAUAUGAUGAAUUUUUACUUCAUAAAUGUACGUAAAACUUAAAAUUGCAAGUUUUUUUUGUAUUUCUUAGUUCAUAAUUAUAAACUUACAACUGAAAGUUUAUUCAUAUAACAUUUUUUUUAAGAAAAAAAAAAAAUCUUUCCCCUUAUGUCUGCUUUAGUAUCUUUUGGCUUGAUAUCUAAUUGCAUGAUAUGUCAUGUGUAUUUUAUCUUCUCAAGAUUUUUAACUUAAAAGUUUAUUGGUUCAAACAUGGAGUUUGUAGAUAUAGCAUUAAACUAGUGCAUUUGUACCAGUCUAUUAUUGCAGUAAAUCGGUUGCGAAGACUAAAACUGACAUGAAAUUAUAUUGGGUUAUCUGUCAAAAAAUUCAUGAAAGCUUCAUUGGUGGGAGAGUUUAGUAGACUUUCCUCAUUUGAGUACAGUUUCCAUUUUAGUGUGGACUCACUUUUCCUCCACUAUUUUUUCCCUCCAUUUUUCAUUCACACACAUUUACUUUGAACCCAACAUACUAUUGACGUGAAUUACAAAUGAAUCACAGCCUAACUUUAAAGUAAAUUAAGUUGCUGAUGACGAGUGCUAUUUACUGCUGUUUAAUUCUAUCAGUCAUUAGCAAACAAUCCCUACUUAUAAAAUGAUGAGACGUACCCUGAUGAUUUUGCUAUAAAUACUUGAGCAUAAGACCACAUCUAACAAAUCAUUUCAUCCUCAUCUACCUUACUAUAACAAAAUGAUGAGAACUAGAGAGACAGCAAUUAGUCUUUUGAUUCUUGCUUUGUUCCUCCUUAAUGUCUCUGCCUAUUUAUCUCUUCCCUUUCAUCUUCCAACCAAUAAUGAAACCUUUGGCCUUGAAUCAUACCCACAAGGACGAUGUGGAAGACAAGCUGGUGGUACAAAAUGUCCUACUGGAGCAUGUUGUAGUAUAUCUGGUUGGUGUGGAACCACAUCAGACUAUUGUACUCCUAGAAAGUGUCAAAGUCAAUGUGUUUUUCCACCCCCACCAUCAUAUCCAGAAGGACGAUGCGGAGAACAAACUUCUUUUAAAAGAUCAUGUCCUUCUGGACAGUGUUGCAGUAUAGCUGGUUGGUGUGGAAGCACAGGAGCCUAUUGUAAUCCUGGUUGGUGUCAAAGUCAGUGCAAAACUAUAACCUCGCCCACCAAGAAUCGCAUGAGAGGCAUUGAAAGCUUCCUGCUCAAUGCUCUCUAGAUGCUUGCUACCUUCUAUAUUCCCUAGAGGAUGUACUUUUACUCCUCUUUUGGGACUGGUUUAUGUGUUUGAUUAUUAACGUGUGUAUUAUUAAUGCAUAUUCCUCAGAACUCACUUGUGAGAUUUUACUGGGUAUGUUUUUACUAUAAUUAUAAUGCAUAUCUAAUGCAUUACUUAUCAAUAAAACAAAUAAAGGACUUUUGUGUAAAUUAAAAAUAGCAAAUGAAGGUCUGUUGUAUGAGUUCUUUUCCCUCAUUUUUCAUCUAUAUUUAUUCAUCAUAUAUAUAGUUGGAAAAGGAUGAUAGAAGAAAAUCUCAACUGAUUUACAUAAUACAUUAAAGAAGAUACUUUUCUUUUUCAUCAAACAUAUCAUCACUCCGGGCCAGUAUCCCACUGUUUAAUUAAAUUGGACCUUCUACAUUUUCAUCGAGAAUCAAACUUUUGUAUUACAAUGGGAACAACAACAAUAAUUAACUUCAUCUUCCUCUCUUCCUCUUCGGCUCUUCAUGUUCAUCACCAACACUAUGAAUUUCUAUCAAAAUACUUGACAUUUCAUCCUAUUACUGCAUGUUUGUCUGUUUCUUUAUAGAAAAUAUUAGCAGCCAUCGUAAUAAAACUCAAAAAAUUAUCAUCAUUCGGAAGAUUCCCAGAGACUAUGACUACGAAAUUUGAUCCAAAUUGUAAUUUAUAUGUUAUGUUUAGCAAAUCAGAAAAAAACUUUCUACCUUCACGAGAUUGGGAUAAGGCUGCAUAUAUAUUAUCUUCUCUAGACUCCACUUAUAGAAUUACACUGGAUAUAUUAUUUUUAUUGUAAAUAAGGGAGGAAUUUGUAUGUUUAGUAAUAUAGGGUCUAAUUAUUUAGUGUUGGUGUUAUUAUGCAUUUUAAUAUUAAAAUCUUAAUUUGCAUGAUAACUUAUGGACAUAAAGUGGAGAAAGUGGUGUCAUUAUAUUGAUAACUCUUGUAACUUCUAACACUUUAUUUGUGCAUAAACAACCACAUUAUGUCUUGUAAUUCAUAUGACCAUUGGUUGUUGUAACUUCAUGGUCAUUAGUUCCAUGUAACAUAUGUAACAACAAGACUAUUUAUCUACCCACAUUACUCUAAUUGUUAAUGCAUGGUGGUAGAAUGUGGCCUUUAGUAAUUUGUAACUGCUCUCAUUAUUUUGCUGUAACUCUCAUGGCUAUUAGUGCCAUUAGUUUCUUGUAACUCUUGUAACUAAAGACUAUUGAUCUUUCCUCUUUAAAACCCUUCUUUGUUCUUCCUAUUCAAUACAAGGAUGAAUACCUCAUCUAUAAAUAGUGGAGGUAGUCUUGCAUGUUAUUGCAUGAACAAGGAAACAUGAUAAAUGUGAAAAAGAUUAUAGUGUGUAGAAGUGAAAGAGAGAGUUGAGACAAGAAAAAUAUUCUAAGUCUACAACUAUAUUCACUAUACAAAACAGAGUAAUUAUAUUAAAGAAAGAAAGAGUUGAGACAAAGACAAUAUUCUAAGUUUUUAACUAUAUUCACCAUACAAAGAGAGUAAAUAUAUGUUGAAGGAAGGUGUUCUUAUGGUGGAGCUUUGGACUCUUCAACUAAGUCGGGGUUGUUUGAGUUAUACAUCGUUGAUGGGGUAGCUGUUGUAUCCUGGAGGGGACAAGUCAUGAGAUAUACUGCUGGAUCAAUGUAGAUUAUGUCGCAGUGGGCUUGAAUCUCCUUAAAGAGAGCAAAAUAUCCGUGCCUCAUCGAAGAAGAAGAUUAUUUUAUUUUCUUCACUUUUACUCAUUUUAUUUUUUAACUGUAAUCAUUUACUGCAAUUUUUUGUAUAUUAAACCAACAUUUAGUUAUAGGAUGAUUUUCUGUUAAAAACAUUGAAAUUGACAUUUAAUCAAAAACAUCUAGCUAGAAUAACUAGUUUUCUAGUUUAUGCGAAAAUUUAAUCGAUUCCUCUCUUGAUGUUGGUUGAAAAUAGUUUUUGUAAAAAUAUAAUUUUCUUUAUUUCAAUCAAACACUAAAGAAGCAAAAGUGUAUUUGAUUGCUAUGAAAAAUCAAAAACCAACAACAAAAGAAAAAAGAUUUAAAAAAGUAAAUGCUCAGUCACUAGGAGGAAGGAGAAUGUUUAGCAUUUCCAAGAUCACAAGUUUUUUAUUUUUAAAAAAAGAUUAUAAAUUUUGUAUCCAAUUAAAUAAAUAGGAUCACAUUACAUGAAAUUAGUUAUGGAAUUUAUCGGAAAUAUCUAGCUAAUCCGUUGCUAGAAAACUACCUAGCUAAUUGAACAUUUUUAUAAUCAACCUCUAAUUUGUAGCUAAAUAGAACUAGCAUGAAAUAUUAUUUUCAGUUUAAGUUAUCUAUAUUGUAAAUGUGAUUUAUUUUAACAUUAUCUUUAGUUAUUUUUUUUAUUUAAUCAAAUAUCAACCAUUAUCUUUUAAUUAUGGCAUAUAUCUUUUAUCCACACAAAAACUUUGAGGAAAAUAGAGAGUAACCCUAAUAUGCAUGUCACAAUCAAUCAUGUUAAAAUAAAAGGACGAUUUCUAAUUGCUAUCAUUAGCAUUUGGCAGGCUGCUCUUAUUAACAUCCAUCCUUCGUUGCCUACUAGAUUCAAGUGGACCAUUAGUUGAUUGCUAGUUUUAUUAUAAAUGGCGAUGACACAACCGUACAUUCGUCUUAUUGCUAGCCUUAUUAUAUAUGAAAAUAACGGCCACGGAUUUCUUCACUUUCUGUGUCUUUUUCGUACAACUAUUUUUUUUGUUUUUGUUUCUUUGCUAUGAUGAGUAGUAAUUGAAAAAAAUGUAACAAAAAAACAAAGAAGAAAAAGAAGAAGGAGGAGGAGGUGGAGGAGGGAGAAAUAUAACUUGAUUUUAGACUUUUGUCUUUUUUUGCUUCACAAAUUCUUUGGGCAUAAUGAAUUACAUUUCAUGUUAGGCCAUAUGAUUUUUAUUCGUCUAUGCGCUAAUCCAAUCUCUUUUGAUUUCAUCUUUCAUCAUCUUAUAAAAUAUCUCACUUAUUCACUAAAUACUAAUGUAUAUUUGAUACAAUUUUCUAGAUAUCUCCCACAUUUUGAUGUACAUUUUCACUUUUCUUUACUAUCUAAUUUAUUAUUAAGGAAAUAAUGUACUGUGAUUGAGAGUUUCAAUUCAAUGAUAAGAUUAUAAUAGUCUCGUUCUUCAUACAGUGUAAAUUUACAAUAAAUGAAGUACACCAUAACAACAUGCAUGUAUUUUCUUUUCGGAAAAGACAUCAUUCCCACCCCAUACUAUACAAGAAAAGUUUAAGCCACACCUAAAUUGUAUAAGUGACCUAUUACACACCUUAACUAUAUAAAAGUGAUAUUAUUACCUCUCCGCGACCCCCAUUCUAAGGCGCGUGUGUUACACUUAUUUUAGGCGCGUCCAGCCUAUUAAAUAACAAAAGUAAACGGCUAAAAACAUUAAGGGAAAAGGCAUCGUUUCCACCCCAAACUAUAGUCGAAAAGUCGAAUCAACACCUAAACUAUAUAAGUGACCUAUUACACACCUUAACUAUAAACAAGUGAUACUUUUUACUGACGUGGCAGCGCGUGUAAAACACUACACCACAUGCAAGUGGUGGUAGCCUGACAGGGUGUAAAUAGUUUCACUUUUUUAUAGUUUAGGUGUGUAAUAGGUCACUAGUAUAGUUUAGAUGUGGCUUCGACUUUUCGGGUAUAGUUUGGGGUGGAAACGAUGCAUUUUCCCUUUUAUAUUCUGUAAACAUAACAAAUAAGAAUAAAAAUCUAGAAAAAAAAAAAACCAACGAUGUUGGUCACAUCAGCUUCCUCGUUCCAAGAAUUAUGGGAGUUUUAUAUAUUUUUUUAACCUUGUUGUUUUAUGUGGAGUCUACGAGGUACGAGGAUUAUGGUUUUGAUGAUCGACACUUGACCAGGUUCAUGUUAAUUGUGAAUCAAGUUCUUGAUUAUUGUUGGACUGGUCAAUUUAGUUAUGUGACAUGUAAUAAAUACUUGUUUAAAUAAAAAAUUCAUAAUUAAUGUAUUGAAAAGAAGCAGGAAUUCUAAGUCAUUUUUUAAAAAAAUUAUGGUAAGCCAGUGUAUUCUAGCAGUUUUUUUUAAUAAAAACUGAUUUGCACAAGGAAAAGUAAGUUGUUAAGGGAGGCAAACAACCAAUACAUACCCAACAAUGUAAUCAAUUUGGCAACGCCUUUUUGCACAUCCACAUAUCUAGGCAAUCACAAAAACAAGAAGGAGCAAGACAAAGAAAAUCAACAAGCUAAAGCAAGAACGAGCAAGACAGAGAAAAUCAACAAGCUGAAUAAUAUCAAGCUAUUAUCCGGUGGUAGUUUGGUGUCGAUUUUAGUUUUGCCUUAGAAGUUUUUUAUUGAAUUCUAAUAGCUUCAGUUCUGUGUUAGAACUUAGAAGUAAAGUGUUUGUGAGGCGUUGUAACAAGAAGCAAGUUUGACUUCUUAAGGCUCAUUUGUUUGCACUUAAUGGAGGUCUGAAUCUGAAUAGUUCAGACUUCAGACCAUUAAAUGCAUUUGUUUUUUUAUUAAGAUUUUAACUCUUAAUAGGUCUGAAUGGUCCUAAUCAUUCAGAUAUAGAAUCAAGUCUUAAUAGGUCUGAAGAGUUAUUCUGGUGUUGGAUAAUUUUCAACGUCACUCUAUUCAUAAUCAUCAGUCACCACCUCUGCCAUUGUCAUCAUUGUCAACUACCACCCACUACCACCAACCACCUUCACCAUCACAACUACCAUCGACAGCAAAUAUUGCUACCAACCACUAUUGUCAACCGCUACCACACCUACUACCUCUAUUAUUCUAAUUAUAUUUAACGCUACCACCAUCAUCAACAGCACUCCCAUCAUCAACCACUACCGGUCAAUCCCUACUAUCGACCAACUCAUUUAUCACAACUAGUACCACCGCUAACUACCACUAAUAUAUCACAACCUCCACACAUUCUUCGGCGGCCACCACUAUUGUCACUAGUAAUGUCACCUCUAUCAUCACUCCAAUCACUAUCAUCGCUAUACUUUAUCUCUACUAACAACCAUCUCUACCAUCACAACUAACAAUAUCUUCAACUAGAACCAACACAUUGUCAACCAUUAUUCAUUCAUUUUUCAGCCAUCAUAAUCAAAACUUUCAACUACUAACAUCAAGCAACGUCACAUCACAACUGUCACACCCCUUUUUCAACCAAAAAGUUUUUGAGUUUAAGGUUAAAAAGGGUUUUAUUAAACCAACGCGUCAAAAGAUGAAAAUUUGUUUCGAAAAAAGGUUAUUUUUACAUUCAAAUUCAGAGUCACCACUUGGCAUAAUCUGGUGUGCCAAGUCACCUUUGAAAAAUUCUUUUUAAAACGAUUUUUGACUCUUUCAAAACUGAUUUACGAACAGAGAUUCCGGCUAAGGAAUUCUGUUGACCAAGGGGAAGGUGUUAGGAACCCCUCGGUCCCGUGGUUCGACCACGGUCGCUUGGUGGAGAAUAUCAGAUAAUUUGACACUACGAAUGUAUAAACCACACAAAGCACGCAGAACAAUCAAUCAAGCAAACAAAACAAAAACAAUCCAAAAUUUAGUGCUCAGUCCAAUUAUACAGUUUCGAAAUAGAAAAAUGUAGAAAUAUAAACCUACACUAUUCUAGGCUAAUCUUAAACUAUGGUCCAUUGCUUUCUACACCCAACGUUCCGGGCCUUGAUCGUGCGUCGUCUUCAAGUACAUGAUACUUCGGGGCAUCCCUAGUGAAUAAAUACGAUUCCUUCGGAGCAUUCCCCGGUAAAUGAAUACAAUAUCAAUUUCAUGAGAUAAACUAGAAAACAUCUGACACAUUUAACAUUCCACGCAUUCAAUCCAACAUCAAUCCUAAGUUUUACCUACUCGAAUCUAUAUUUGCCUAUCCAUUUCAACAUAUCAUAAAUCUAUCACGUUCCGAUAAUAUUCAUGCUUAUUCCGGAUUAAAAAAAACAAUGAUCAACCAAAAUUGAUCUAUAUUUGCCCAUUUUCAUUAAUUUCUUAAUUCCACCCCACGAAUUCCAAUUCCUCAAUCACUCUAUCCACAUGAACCAAAUCAAUCAACAUCAACCACGGUAAUCAAAGUUACUUGAACCAAUAUCAAAUCACGUCACCACAUCACAACAACAGCCACAUCGACGUAAGAAAAGAGAUAAGGCUAAGGGAUGGACCUUUGAAAGAUUUGAUUCCGUUGAUAAUAAUGUUUAAGAAAAUCCGGACGUAGAAUUCCGAAUAGAACCUUAGCAGCGACGAACUCCAACUCUAUAUCAAGGUAUUUGAAACCCCAAAACUGACCUCAAUAGACUGAUCGACACGAAAGGAAAACUAGAUACCCAAACUAGGAACGAAAACUGAGAAACCCGAAACCCGACUUUGAAUAUGAAUCAACUAAGAUGAACCUGAAGCUCCGAAAGUCCCAUCGAACCUACAAACCUACAGAAAUCGAGUUCGAUGAGCUGACAAUGAGCAAAACUACUAAAACGAUCAGAUUCCAGCAAUAUCGCGUUUAGAAAUUAAAGGAAAAUAAAGGGAAUUUGGCGAUUAGGAGACUAAUUCGAACGACGAUCGGUUGAAACUGAUUUCGGCCCGAAGUCAUCGAAAAUUACGUGUCUACAACAACCACCACCAUCACUAUCAACCGUCACCAUCAUAACGGUCACUACAAUACCAACCAUCACAACUAUCACCACUAACAUCCAUUAUUGUCACCGCAACCACUAUUAUAAAGCAUAUCUGCUAUCACUAAAAAACAUAAAUAUUUUUUUAUUCAAUUAAAUAAUAAUUUUGUUGUAUUAAAUUACAUAUUUUUCUGAUAUCUAAUUAAUUUUUUAUUUGAAUUGUAUUUUUUAUUUUAUUAUAUAUAGAAAUAAUUUUUUUUGUACAUUCAGAUAUUGAAAAACAAACAAUCUUAAUCAUUCAGUUUUCAGAUCUAGAGACAAUAUCUUAAUCAUUCAGACGUGCAUUCAGAUUCAAACGUCAGAAUCUUAGAAAAAACAAAUGCAGCCUUAGAGUGGUUAAGUAGUGUACAGAACAGUUAGAGUUAAUUGUUGAGGUAAAGUACUAGAUUGAAUCCCUUAGACUGUAGAGUUGUAAUUUGAAAUGUUGAUGGUGUGAAGAUAGUGGAGAUUGGUGUUGAAAUCUCCUAGCAUAUUGUUCGUGUUUAGUUUGUUUUUACUAUUUACUACAUUUUUCUGAACCAGGUUUCUAAUACAUGUGGUGGAGUUAGCUGUUUUAUCAUUUUAAGCCUUCAGUUUCAAUUUUUUUGUCUAAAUUUGACUCAAGCUUAUGAAAUUAAAGAAGAUGGUUGAAUCUUGUAAUCUUAGACUAAAGAUACGUUGAACGUAUGAUAAUGAACUUUAAUUUUAUGAUCUUAAGCAUGUCACGAGAAAAGUUAAAAUUAAAGAGUUGCCAAAAAAGAAAAGAGACAUUCUUUUUUAAACAAAUUACGAAGAAAAACAAGAGAAACAAAUUGACAAGUAGGAACAAUAUAUUAAGUUUAAACAAUUCUGUUCCUUUUACUUGAGCUUACUCGUACCACUUCGUAAAGAGGGAUUUUUUUUUUUUUGGGCAAAUUUGGGACCACUCGGAUAUUAUCCGAAGUGAAAGAACCUCAAAAAACAAUAAGUACAAGUAAGAGGGGUCAAAUCUUACCAUAAAAAUCUUAAUGAAAUCAAAUCCUCUACUAAUACUAUCAAGCUAUGUAAGAAAUAAGAAUUUGAAAGAACCAAAUAUUUAAUGAUCAUUACAAGUAUUUAUAACACACUUUAUAAUAAUAUUACAAAUAAAGAUAUUAACAGGAGAGAUAAACGUAGUUAUUGGAGUGUAAAUUUUGUGUUUAACUAAUGUGUGAGUGUAGACACAUAAUUUUGUCCCCCUCAAAAGUUCGUUUUUAUUCAUUUCUACCUUAUCAUAUCAUGUACUCUCCCCACGUGAUUACACCCCACAAAUAAUACAAAAAAAAAAAAAAAUAACUCUCAACAAAAUCCCUAACAAACUUUUAUUCUUUUAACACCCUAACAACCCUCUCCAAUAAAAAAGUGACAAAUCACCACCUCACCACCCCAUACCCUACCCUUUACCCCUACCCCACGUCCUCCCCCCUCUUUUUUUCUUGUCCAAGAAGAAAGGACUCAAAAACCAAAAAUACAAUAUAUAUAUAUUAACCACUCGCAUUUAAGCAAAUAAUCUUAUUUCUUUUGAAUACUCUCCAAGAGUUUCAACGAUUUUCAAACCAUCAAUUUAUCCCUCAUAAGGAUAAUAAAUAAGUUUUCCAAAAACUUUAUAUGCUUCAGGCAUUUUGAAUCCUUUAGGGAUUUUCAUAUGGAUUUUUGUAAAGUGACAAUACCAAUAUGUGUGACAUCUUCAAGUGUCUGGACUGCAAAUCAAAUAAGUUUUAUGCUUACCAAGAUGCAUCCUUUCACGUCACUUGAUAAAUUUUUCUACGUCAACAUACUUAAAUUAACGUAGAAUUCAGAUCUUCAUAAUCUUUUUACAAUAUUGCGCCAAUAUUGUAUCAUAGAUAUCGUCGAUGAUUUCUUAUUUUGUAACGAUUCACAAUGCGACAUAACAUUUUGAGAUCUCAUCACUUCAUUAUUUUCAGGUACCUAAACCUCUCAUAAGGUUUCAUGAAGUGUUAUGUCGUAGGCUCUUCAAGAGCUUAUUGCCUUCUUAUUAUGAUUAUUUGCUCCUUAUUUUUCAAGGACUAUUUCAUUUAGAACCGAUUAGUCCACCACGCUUCACGCAUGCAUAGACUUUGUCCUUUAGGAACACAAAAUAAGAGCACUUGCGCUUAAUAUGAGAUGCUUUCGGCAUUUGACUUGAAUUAUCUUUUGGAUGAGGAUCUGGUGAUAAUUCCUAACAUAUUUCAUAGCGCUUAUAAUCUCCCCCUUAUGUUAGAAAAAGUAGCAUACAUCCUCUAUUUCUUUGAGGAAUCCAUCAUUGUGCAUUAUUGUAUAUUCAUUAAUCGUAUAUCGCACAUCAAAAUUAUUAGAUAGAAUAAUUGGUUCAUGACCUUGAACCAUAUAAGGGGAAGAAAUAAUCAUAAUUUAUUAAUCUAAUGCAUACAAGUGUUAUUGUAUGCAACAUGUCAUAUUUCAGAUCAACACAUGAAGCUUUGUUCUCAUUAGCGAUGGUUUAGCUAUUUAUCGAAGGCAUUCAAUGCCAAAUCAUCAUCAUCAAGAUAACUUUCGUGUUGCACAAUCUGAAAAUUAUGUUCUUAACUCAAUUUUGUUGAGCAAGCAACUUUAUGAAUGUCAAACUGCAGGUUGACAAUGAAAGUAUAUGUGAUCAUCUUAUUGAUGCAUCAUUUUAACAUAUCACAUGAUAGAUGAACGAGCCCUUAUUCACCUUUUAUUCAGAUUUGAAGGUCCAAUCCCAAUAUUAGUUGGUCCAACCAACUUAUCAUGAGAACAAAUUAAACGACAUAAACAAUCCUUGAAGAAUCUUGUAGUUCUUCAAUACAUGCAAAUUUUCGAGAUGUCACAACUUUUAUUCUAGUAAACUCCAAGUUUACCAUGACAUGUACUUUUUCUUUAGUAAAUUUCAGAUUUACUAUUACAUGAAUAAAUUUUAGAUUUACUACUUCAGAAGUAGAUUUCAAAAUUAUUCAACCUCUUUCGGAGGUGAGUUGUGAUACAAUCANNNNNNNNNNNNNNNNNNNNNNNNNNNNNNNNNNNNNNNNNNNNNNNNNNNNNNNNNNNNNNNNNNNNNNNNNNNNNNNNNNNNAUAACCUCUUUCAAGAUUUUGCUACUUCAGAAGCAAAUCGAGGCAUACAUAUGAUGUAGAGAAUUUUUCUCUAGCAUAUCUUAUAAUCAUAUAAGCGUGUGAAAAUAUCAUCACUUUUGAUGAUCAUUAUUAUAUUCGUGCAUUCAAUCACUUGUCUUUUUUCAGACAUAUUAUGCAUUGCUACCACAUACACUUCAUGGAAUGGAGCAUAUUCAAUGGGUCAAAUUUCAUGACUUUUCACCCAAUACCCAUUAUUUUUCCUUAGCCAUCACAAUAUCAUCAAUUUGGUGUAUCGAGAUUCAAACUCAAUAUUUUAUCCAUAUAAAGGCGUCUUAGGCAUAAAUCGAUGGGACUUGAACUCAAAUAUUAUCGUCCCUUUUGAUAAUAUUGUUCUUGAAGAAUGAAUUUUAAACAUAAAUGGUUUCAAACCAAUUAUUUUUCCUCAAAUCCAACAAUAAUUAUAUCAUUAAUAGAAAAAUACAAAUAACAUAAGGAAUUACUAACCUUGACCUUUAGAUUUAUAAUCUCACCUUAUUUGGCAGAAUCUCGUGUUGAUAAUGUGUUAUAAAAUAAUAAAGAAUAAAGAAGAAGAGUAGAGAGAAUAGAGAGAGUGAUUCUUAUUUCUUCUCUUGAGGGAUUCUUGAGGGGUCAUCAGAUUAUAAAUACAAUGAAUAAAACCUCUCUAUUUAUGGGAGAAAUUUACUCCUAGUCUAAGUAAAAGAAGAAUGCUUCAAAUCCUAAUAGAUAUCAACAUAGAUCUUGAUAGAUAUGUGUCUCACCCCCUUUUUUUAAACUCCAAAAAGAUUAUUUAAGGUUCGAAAGUGUUUUUAUUAUUAAAGUGAUAAAAGGAAGAUAGUUUGUUUCUAAAGGGACCUUUUACAUUCAAAACUCAGAGUCGCCACUUGGCAUAAUCUGGUGUGCCAAGUCACCAUUGGAAAGUCCUUUUCAAAACCAUUUGACUCUUUAAAUUAGUUUGUGAACAGAGAUUCCGGCUAAGGAAUUCUGUUGACCGAAGGGAAGGUGUUAGGCACCCCUCGAUCUCGUGGUUCGACCACGGUCGCUUGGUGAAGUAUAUCGGCUAAUUUGAACACUAUGAAUCAAUAAACCACACGAAACACAAAUAAAACGAUCAAUCAAACAAAUAGAUCCAAAACAAUGUCCAGUCCAAUUAUACAGUCCAAAAAUAGAAAAAAGAAUGCGAAAAUGUAAAUCCUAUUCUACCCUACACUAAUUUUAUACUACGCUCCCAUGCUACCCGAUGCCUCGGGCCUUCAUCAUGGACGUCCUCCAAAUACAAAAUACUUCGGGGCAUUCCUCGGCGAAUAAAUACAAGUGAUCGCGGGACAUUCUCCGAUUAAAUGAAUACAUUUCCAAAUGCAAGAACUAAAACCAAACUGUUCAACUCAAAUUUCACAUUCAAACAUUCAACAAGAAAACUUAUUCCUAAAUUUUUUGCCUACCCGAAACAACAUUCUCCUAUCUAUUUCAACAUAUCAUAAUUUUAUCACAUUCCAACAAUAUUCAUGCUCAUUACGAAUUAAACAAAACAACAAUAAACCAAAGCUAAUCUAAAUUCAACUUUUUUAUCAAUUUAUCAAUUCCAUCCCCCAAAUCCAUUUUCAACCACAUUACUAAACCAGUUCGACUAUCAAAUCUUUUCAAAAUUCAAAACCAACAACACAUACCCCAACGAAGAUUCAAACAUUUAAGCAUUCCAAUCAUUCAUAUCCGCAAUAACAAUUAACAUUUUUGCUCGAAAUAUUCAAAACCACACUACAAAAUCACGAUAUUAACCAACUUCGAUAUAAUAAAAAAGUAGAGUUGAGAAAUGGACCUUUGAAGAAUCGAUUUCGUUAAUAAUAAAAUCAAGAAAGCCCGGACUAUAGAAUUCCUAGUAGGACCUCAACAAUGACGAACUCCAACUCCGUAUUGAAAAAUUUAAGACCCAAAACGGAAGCUCCGUAAAUCUAAUCGAACUCAAAAACCAACACUGUUCACGUACUGUUCACAACACUGUUCACGGUACUAUUCAUAACACUGUUCACAGCACUGUUCAUGGCACUAUUCACGAUACUAUUUCUUUCUGAAUUUUUUUUCUCUCGCGCGAUUCUCUCUUCUCCCCCUCUGUUUUUUUAUUCUUCUUGUGAGGAAGAUGAUUUGGUGAUGUUGUUAUUGUGGAGAAGAUGAUGAUGAAAGAAUGAGCCUCCCUUUUCCCCUUUUAGAAUUUUCCUUUUAUAUAUUUUUUAUUUGGUUUUUCUUUUUCUUUAUUUAUUAUCAUAUGUGGAAGCAUAUAAUUGGUGGCUUGUGGGAAUAAGUGUGUGGCAUGUGGAAAAGUUAGUGUGGCAUGUGGAAAGAUGAGAGUGGUGUGUGGAAAAAUGAGUAGGGCGUGUACCUUUUGCAUGUAUACAAUGAAAAAUGAAAAGUGAGGUGUUGAGGUGGCAUAGUGAGGUGACAAAGAUGCUAUGUAUUUAAUUAUUUUCAAUUCUUUUUUUUUUGGAGAAAUUAUCAAUUAAAAAAAAGUAUGAUAAGGUGAAUAAUAUAAAAAUAAAAAAAUUAAAAUUAAAAUUAAAAUAAAUAAAAUAAAAUAAAAAUAAUUAAAAUAUUUUUGGGUUAGGACAAAAUUACGUGUCUACAUCAUGCCCCCUUUGAUGUAACACAUGGUGUUUUCAUACAAAGCAGUAGACAACGUGACAGAAUUUUGUCCUGACCUUUAUUCAAAAGCACGGAGCACGAGAAAGGAGGAAAACCAAGUUUUUACUUAGGAUAUCCUACCUACCCAAGUUAUGAGGGAAUCAACAGUUAUCUCAAAGGAUUGGAAGAAGCUGGACUAUGCCGAGUUGGAGAAUCGAGUGAGGUUCCAUCGAGGUUCCGGUCCGCGGCUCUGUUAUUACAUCAAAAAUAAAAAUUACAAGUUAAAAACAAAAAUAAAAUUACAAAAUCCUAUCUACGCAGCUUCUGUUGGACUCUUGACUUGAGUUUCAUCACUCUAUUCUUCAGGCGAGCUCCUGAUUUGAAAUUUCUUCAACUUGUUGCUUGGUUUUCAAUUUCAUCACCCUGUUCUCCAGACGGGCUCCUGGCUUGUUAUUUUCUAUCUGUUGACUUUCAUUUUCUUCAGUUUGUUACUUGACUUUCAACUUCUUCACCUUGUUACUUGACUUUCAAUUUCUUUACCUUGCUGGUUGACUUUCCAUUUAUUCUCCCUGUGCUUCGGGCGGGCUCCUGAAAUCACAUCAAAACUAGAAAAAAAAUUAUCCCAAACAAAUAUUAUUAUAAAGAGAUUUCAUAUGCCAGGAAAGUAAAGUUCUAACACAAGAAUUAAAUUUUGCCCCAGUUUGGACUUUUGCGAAAGUCAAAUCAUUAUAGGAAUCAAGGAGAAUGACUCGAUUAUAAGGUGCGUCUGAUAGGAAUCAAAGGAAUUGGCUCAACUAAAAGGUACGUAUUUGAGGGAUCAAGGAUAAUGACUCGACUAAAAGGUACGUCUUAUAGGAAUCAAGGGAGAUGCCUUGACUAAAAGGUACGUCUUACUAGCAAUCAAGGGAGAUGACUCAACUAAAAGGUACGUCUUAUAGGAAUCAAAGGGAAGGACGCGACUAAAAGGUACGUCUUCUAGGAGCCAAAGGAAAUGACUCGACUAAAAGGUACGUCUUAUAGGAAUCAAAAGGAAUGACUUGACUAAAAGGUACGUCUUAUAGGAAUCAAAUGAGAUGACUCGACUAAAAGGUACGUCUUAUAGCAAUCAAAAGAAAUAACUCGACUAAAAGGUAUUUCUUCUAGGGGUCAAAGAGAAUGACUCGACUAAAAGGUACGUCUUAUAGGAAUCAAAGGGAAUGAAUCGACUAAAAGGUACGUCUUCUAGGGGUCAAAGGGAAUGACUCGACUAAAAGGUACGUCUUAUAGGAAUCAAAGACAAUGACUCAACUGAAAGGUACGUCUUAUAGGAAAUAAAAAAGAUGACUCGACUAAAAGGUACGUCUUAUAGGAAUCAAAGGGAAUGAAUCGACUAAAAGGUAAGUCUUAUAGGAAUCAAAGGAGAUGACUUGACUAAAAAGUACGUCUUAUAGGAAUCAAAGGGAAUGACUUGACUAAAAGGUAGUGUUCUAGGGGUUAAAGGGAAUGACUCGACUAAAAGGUACGUCUUAUAGGAAUCAAAGGAAAUAACUCGACUAAAAGGUACGUCUUAUAGGAAUCAAAGAAGAUGACUUGACUAAAAGGUACGUCUUAUAGGAAUCAAAGGGAAUGACUCAAAUAAAAGGUACGUCUUAUAGGAACCAAAGGGAAUGACUCAACUAAAGGGUAUGUCUUAUAGGAAUCAAAGGAGAUGACUCAACUAAAAGGUACGUCUUAUAGGAAUCAAAGGAAAUGACUCGACUAAAAGGUAUGUCUUUUAGGGAUCAAAGGGAAUGACUCGAUGAAAAGGUACGUCUUAUAAGAAUCAAAGGGAAUGACUCGACUAAAAGGUACGUCUUUUAGGGAUCAAAGGGAAUGACUCGACUAAAAGGUACGUCUUCUAGAAAUGAAGGUUCAAUUUAAGAAGUGUAUCAUCCAGCAAAUGAAAACUGAAAUUCCUCGACAAGUAAGUGUGUCUCCGAGGGAUAUAAGAUGAUGAAUUUUUACCAUGAUUUAAUUAUCAAACCUGUGCAACAGCAUUGCUUCUCGCAUUUGUAAAAGUAAGAAAUUACGGGCCUUGAUGUUUAGGAUUUGAAAUCCUUGAUUUGAAGGUAACAUGUGUUCCUGUUUCAUGCAAAGAAAGGUUGUGAGAUCAAAAACAUAGUGACUGGUUUGUGGCUUUGGCUUUCGUGGAAAACGCUCUUGCCGUCAUCAUAUUUAAUCUUGCUUCCAACCAUUAGUCUGUGUCAUUGACUUGCUGCUUUAUUGACCAAACUCAGAUUAUUAAGAGUGACUGAGACAAACACAGCAUCUCUGCUUUGCCAUGCUUCUCAGGUAGACCACCUUGGAACCUUGGUAUUUCAUGAGUUCCCAGACUUAUUUGUUAACAAAACUUUCUGCUUGCCUCAUUUUGGCUCACAAUCAUGUCUCUUUCAUGCGUUGGCCUUUCUGCCUUACUUUGUACAAUUGAAGAAGCUGGUAGCCAGUUUUGAAAUUUUUUCUCACUUGUUUUGACAUAGACUUGACUCAAAUACAAGAGAAAAAUGACAAUAAUUUUGUUUGGAUAACUGACUCAAGAAAAAUAAAAAUAUAACUAUAGAAAAGAAAGAAAUGAUAAUGAAUGUCCCCAUUGAAAAAAAUGAAAAAAAACUUUAUCUGAAAAUGAUAGUCAACUCUAAUGAUUAUGACAUGCAUAUCGGAUUAAACUACCUGAUCUUUCCAUCCAAAACUCUCAUAAAUUGUUGUUGAGUUAAUGACCCUGAAAGUGGGUUGCUUUCUUGGGCCAAUUGCAUUCGGAGACCACAUUCGGCUAGUGACGCCUUGAAGGGUUUUCUUCAAUAAGCCUCUCUCAUUUUCUUUUAUCACCUGACCAUUGCCUUAUAGUAUCCGAGAGGGUUUUUUACCAAUAAGAUUCUUAUUUUCAUUUUUCUCAACUCAUAGUCGUCUUACAGUGCCCGUGAGGAUGAGCAUUGUGGAUAAAAAACCUUGUUGCAAGUGGUUAUGUGGAUUUCUUGGAUUUUGGGGAAAGAAACCUUAUUGUAAGUGGUUAUGUGGAUCUAAUAUGUAAGCUCGGGAUUGAGGCUGACAGUACUGGUGGGUUGGACCUCUCAAACUCUACUUUGGUCCUGGCAUGACAAUAGGUACAUUUUUCUUCUUCUUUUCUUCAGUUUCCCUUGUUUGAUUGCAAUGUCGUCCUAAAUGUUUCACAGAAUCCUUCUGUCCAUCAGGCUCCCCAAAUUUUGAUGUCUCAAAGCUAGGAGGAAGAUUAACACUUGAAGACAUGACCUUGUUUUUAUAUGAAACAUCUUCAUAGCCCAUAAGUUCAGGGGAAUUUUUCAUAUCAUUUUCUACACUCUUAACUUUCCUAACCAUUUUCUCUAGCUCUUCUAGCAUGCUAGGCUUCUUAGUAAAAAAUUUUGACGGUCCACUUAAUUUAACGGUAGGCUCAAGAGUAUAACAAUGAUCAUCAAGAGUAUUGAACGUGGAUUCAUGACUAGUGGACUGGAGAAACACAAUCGUUGGAUUGAUAGCCAAAGUGGAAGUCUUAGUAGAAGGUUGAGCAAUAAAAACACAGACAGUAUAUGAUGCUGUGAAUGUGGUAGACUUAUACUGAGGAGCUAAAGAAAGAGUGGUGGAAGUAUUGAGGUGCAUUUGACGUGGAAUGAAUUAUGAGGCAUGUUGUGGUAUAUCAACAACAGUAGGAAAUUGACUUUGCGAUUUUGGUGGAAGACUCAAGGUAUUUGCAGGGUCAAAAGUGGGGAACGGAGGUGGAGGCAGCCCACUGGCCCAAGCUCGGUAUAUUUCCAUCAUUUGUUGUCUCAGUCUCAAAUUCUCUUUCUUUAAACUCUCAAUUUCCUGACUCUUUGUUUUAUCCAUGGUGCCACUUUUUAUAUCCUUGUUGGACACAACUAAACCUUCCUUGAAUUUGGUGUGAUAUGGAGGACCAGUCAGGAAGUCACAAACCAACCACCAUAAACUAACUGAACAAGAGGCAACAAAUAUGUUAGAGUUCAACAUUUUUCAAAACCUCUUUUUUUUUUUAGAAAAGACCACCGAACCCAAGAAGGGCGCCUGCAUAUCUCACCCCCGAGAGAGGAGAAUCAGGUGUGCGUAGUUCGUGAAGUCUUGCUAAAAUGGCCAAUUAAACUCUUUGUUUUCUUUCUUUUUUUUGUUCUUUUUCUCGAAACUUUAAGAAGAAAAGAAAAUAACAAUUUGUCAAAAGAAUUGACGAAAAUGUUUUUGAAUUUUUCAGCUUUAACAUCCCUAUACAAAGUGAAAUCAAUGAUUACCAAAUAAUUUUUUUUGGGGGGGUUUCAGUUUUAAAUUUCAUAUGAAAAUGAAACCUGAACCUGUUAAAGGGAAAUCUUUUUGCAGUUUUCUUUUAUUGAUGCAUAUGACACCUACUCUAAAUGAUGAGUGAAAAAAAUAUUUUUAAAUUUUUUAAAUAAGAUCCCCGAACCAACAAUAGGUUGUCUACGUAUCUCACAUUCCGAAAGAGGAGAAUCAGGGGUGGCGUAGUUCGUCCAGAUGGGACAAUUAAAAAUUAAAUAACCGACUGAACCCUGACUUAAUAGAUGAGACUACAACGAUAAAAAUCUUUUUUGAGGUUUUCACUUUGACACUCCACAUAAAACUGACACCAACAACUAUGAAAGAAAAAUCUUUUUGAUAUUUUCAUGAAAUGUACAAAACUCCUACAAUUUUUACAUUUUUCUUUUAUAAAAAAUCCUAUGAAUGAAUUUUUUUUUUUUUAAAGUUUUUGAAUUAUGAAUACUUGCUUAAGGAAACAAAAGAAAAAUCUUUUUGAUGUUUUUGAUUUUGACAAAUGAAUGCAAAAGGUGAAAAGAUUUUUUUGAAUUUUUGGAUUGUGAAAAACGAAAGCCCUAAAGAACUCUAAAAACUACGAAACUCUCUCUUUUUUUUUCUUCGACUCACUUUUUUCAUUGCCUUCACACUUGAUUUCUAACACAUGUUUUCCCCAAAUCGGUCUGUCAAAAGACCCCAUUAUCCUCAAAGAUGCAACGUUUAGCACGUAGGGAUGAGGUAGAGGUGAGUCUCCUAUAAAAGACCAAAUGGGGCCCGCUAGGUAUCAAUAUGAUGAACAUAGUAUGACCUAAAGGCUGACCUAUGCUAGGGUUCACCAACAAGGCUGUUCGGGGGAGCGUAUGGUCGAUAGUGGCAGCUUUAGCUGUCCACCUACUCCAUACCAGCCAACGGCUCCCCUCUUUUAAAAUAAGGGUGACUAAACUAUAGGUCCUGUACACAGCGUGUACGACAGAACUUGUUGCAGAAAGAUUGACUCGGGUCAUGCACAUGAUGCCAGAUAUAAAACGGUAACACAUAAGAUAAAAACUGUAAACAAAGAGCACGUAGGCACUUAACAAUGAUAAACAAUAACACAAAAUAACACAAACAAAAUGUCUAUACACCUAUAGUGACAAACUAAGCCGAUACAACUCCAAAAUAAACUCGAAUUCUAAAAAAAAUCCCCAGCAGAGUCGCCAGAGCUGUCACACCCCCUUUUUUUAAACUCCAAAAAAAUUAUUUAAGGUUUGAAAGGGUUUUUACUAUUAAAGUAACAAAAUGAAGAUAAUUUGUUUCGUGAAGGACCUUUUACAUUCAAAACUCAGAGUCGCCACUUGGCGUAAUCUGGUGUGCCAAGUCACCAUUGAAAAAUCCUUUUCAAAAUCAUUUGAUUCUUUAAAUUGGUUUGCAAACAGAGAUUCCGACUAACUAAUUCUGUUGACCGCGGAAGGGUGUUAGGCACCCCUUGAUCCCGUGGUUCGACCACGGUCGCUUGGUGGAGUAUAUCGACUAAUUUGACCACUAUGAAUGAAUAAACCACACCACACACAAAUAAAAUGAUCAAUCAAACAAACAAAUCUAAAACAAUGUCCAGUCCAAUUAUACAGUCCAAAAUAGAAAAAGAAUGCGAAAAUGUAAAUCUUAUCCUACCCUACACUAAUUUUAUACUAUGCUCCCAUGCUACCCGAUGCCUCGGGCCUUCAUCACGGACGUCCUCCAAAUACAAAAUACUUCGGGGCAUUCCCCAGCAAAUAAAUACAAGUGAUCGCAAGGCAUUCCUCAAUUAAAUAAAUACAUUUCCAAAUGCAAGAACAAAAACCAAACCGUUCAACUCAAAUUCCACAUUCAAACAUUCAACAAGAAAACUUAUUCCUAAAUUUUUUGCCUACCCGAACCAACAUUCGCCUAUCCAUUUCAAUAUAUCAUAAUUUUAUCACAUUCCAACAAUAUUCAUGCUCAUUACGAAUUAAACAAAACAACAAUAAAUCAAAGUUAAUCUAAAUUCAACUUUUUUAUCAAUUUCUCAAUUUCAUCCCACAAAAUUCAUUUUUAACCACAUUAUUAAACUAGUUCGACUAUCAAAUCACCUUUCGAAAUCUGAAACCAACAACACAUACCCCAAUGAAGAUUCAAACAUUUAAGCAUACCAAUCAUUCAUAUCCGCAAUAACAAUUAACAUUUUUGCUCGAAAUAUUCAAAACCACACCACAAAAUCACGAUAUUAACCAAUUUCGAUAUAAUAAAAAAGUAGAGUUGAGAGAUGGACCCUUGAAGAAUCGAUUUCGUUGAUAAUAAAAUCAAGAAAGCCCGGACUAUAGAAUUCCUUAUAGGACCUCAACAAUGACGAACUCCAACUCCGUAUUGAAAAACUUGAGACCCAAAACUGAAGCUCCGUAAAUUCAAUCGAACUCAAAAACCGACACUGUUCACGUACUAUUCAUGGUACUGUUCACAACACUGUUCACGACACUAUUCACAACACUGUUCACGGUACUAUUUCUCUCUCGAUAUUUUUUCUCUCGCUUGAUUCUCUCUUCUCUCCCUUGGUCUUUUUUGUUCUUCUUGUGAGGAAGAUGAUUUGGUGAUUAUUGUUAUUGUGGAGAAGAUGAUGAUGAAAGAAUGAGCCUCCCUUUUCCCCUUUUAGAAUUUUCCUUUUAUAUAUUUUUUAUUUGGUUUUUCUUUUUGUUUAUUUAUUAUCCAUGUGGAAGCAUAUAAUUGGUGUCUUGUGGGAAUAAGUGUGUGGCAUGUGGAAAAGUUAGUGUGACAUGUGAAAAGAUGAGGGUGGCGUGUGAAAAAAUGAGUAGGGCGUGUGCCUUUUGCAUGUAUCCAAUUAAAAAUGAAAAGUGAGGUGUUGAGGUGGCAUAGUGAGGUGACAAAGAUGCUUUGUGUUUAAUUAUUUUCAAUUCUUUUUUUUUUUUUGAGAAAUUAUCAAUUAAACAAAAGUAUGGUAAGGUGAAUAAAAUAAAAAUAAAAAUCAAAAUAAAUAAAAUUAAAUAAAAAUGAUUAUAAUAAUUUUGAGAAAGGAUAAAAUUACGUGUCUACAAUAUGUCAUGUGUCUUUCAUCUUCAGAAGAUCGUCAACUUAAAAGUUUAUCGGUUCAAAAACGGAGUUUGUAGAUAUAGCGCAUUAAACUACUGCAUUUGUACCUGUCCAUUAUUGCAGUAAAUCGGUUGCGAAGACUAAGGCUGGCAUGAGAGUAUAUUGAGUGAUCUAUCAAAAAGUUCAAUUUAAUAAAAUCGACAUAGGAGUCAUACUUUGUUCCCAUUAACGAAUAUCCAAAUUUUAAAUCAGAUUUAUAAAUAAAGAGAAAAUAUACCCAAUAUAACAUACGGGAGAGUCAUUUAACACAUUGUGAUAGUUAAAUCCAAAUAUGGUUUAAGAAAAAUAAAAAAAAAUCCAAGUAUGGUUUGAUGGACGCUAUUACUAUAUGUACAAAGUUGCUGAUGUUGCUUGAAGUUGAUUACAUACAUCACUAUUUUACUGUUUUUUUCAGAAAAUAUUUUAAACUUCAUUUUGAUAGUUGAUAAAUUGUUUGAACUUAUGUUUGAAGUUCUUGAAACUUCAUUUUGAUAGUUUAUAAGUUGUUUGAACUUGUGUUGAAAUUCUUGUAGAUUAAUAAUUAAUAUACAUAUUGUACCCAAAAAAUACACUUCUAUGAUUAAGCUUGUUGAAUUUAAUUGUUCAAGGGUAAGCAAAAUCAUACAAAACAAAUAAUAUGGAUUAUGCAUUUUAAGGUUUCGAACGGUAAAAAUGUGAUGUUAGAAUUAAAUUGAAUAAUAAAUGUACAAAAAUUUAUUUUGUAAUAGACUAAAAAUAAAAGUAUGUCAUAUCGAAGUUGAUGAAAAUGGUAUAUGGUUUUGCCAUAACAAUGUCAUAAGAAGAAUAUUUAAUUUGAUUCAUUUUUUCAUUUGUUUUAAUUUUUUUUUUUUAUCCUUUGUUUAUGGAUAUUUGAUUCAAUAAACUAAACUUCUAGCAUUAAAGUGUGUUCUAAUCAUUGAGAGACAAUUUAGGUAUGAAACUCAUAAUUUCAAUCAUGUUGGCAUCAAAAUAGAAAACUUAAAUAUUAUUAAUUAGGUAUAAUUUUUAUCCUUUUAACUCCUAUAAAAUUAAAAAUUAGAGGUACAAUCAAUAUAAUGUCAAUUUCAAAUAUGUCUUAUACAUACAUGGCAUAUUAGAUAUGAAAACAACGAUGGGCAAUUUCUUCAAGUUUAUGUCUUAUUCGUAGAGCUGAUAUUUUUCUUUAUUUGUUUCUUUCUUGUGAUGAGUACUAAUAGGAAAAAAGCAUAAUUUUUUUCUAACCAUAUUCAACUUCUUUCUCUUGUUUUUUGAUUAUUAAAGUGGAGGUUUUACGAUGUAUAUCUUCUUACAACACUCUUGAUAUGAAUGAUAAAUAUCUAAAUUACAUCUAUACAUUUUUGUAGACCGAGUUAUAAUCAUUUUUGAAAUUCCUCGGUAUUAAAUUCCCUUUGAGAAUCACUCAUUCAGUUCUUGUAUAAAGGACAGUAAGAAUUAUAUUGAUAUUUUAUUUUAGUCUACAUAAAAUUAUUUAUUUUUAUCACUCAACUCAAAUUAAUCUAACUUACUUCAACCCAAAUCCAACACGAACAUAACCAUUUUCACUUUCACUAGCUACACCAGAAAAGAUAUUUAAUGACAAUUAGUUAAUAAUAACAUUGUAAUUGUCGUUAAAUAUAUCUUUUAGAAAAAAAUAUUAGUAAAAAUUAGAUUAUAGCACUCUUUGUAAAUGUUCUAAAAUGAAUAGCGAUAUUGAAUUCAAUGCCAAUAAAAAUUGAAACAUUUUUUUUUAAAUAUAUGCAUUUAUUAUUGCUAAAAGUCUUUAUUAAUGUAUCGUGCAAAAUAGUGUCUUUACUCUUCUUUUUAUUUUUGUCACAAUGAUUUACUUUACUUUGUACUUGUCUGAAUUUGUAUUAGAGUAAAUACAUAAUUAUCUUUCUGAUCUUGUCCGAAUUUUAUAAAAAGACAUCUAAACUUUAACUUCAACCCAUUACCCCACGAAUCUUCUUUAUUCUGUUGCAAAUACACAAUUUUGACCCUCUGCGUGUAUACACGCGCCACAAACGCGUGAAAAGGCAAAAAUUGACUUUUUUGACCAAUUAAAAGCUGCCAAGUGUAAAUAAUUUAAUAUAUAAUUUAUAUUCUUUUUUUUAAAAUCAAUAUUUAUUUAUUUUUUAAAAUUAUNNNNNNNNNNNNNNNNNNNNNNNNNNNNNNNNNNNNNNNCAACAACAACAUCAAUUACAACAACAACAUCAAUUACAACAACAACAACAAUAUCAUCAUCACCAUAAUUUUAAAAAGAAAAUAUGAUGUACAAUCUCUAUUUUAAUGGAGCUUUAAACUCCAUUUUAAUGGAGGGAAUUGGACGGGAAUGGGGGAGGGAGGGGUUGGAAGGAGUGGGGGUGGGGAGGUGGGGUGGGGUCAUAAACAAAAAUGGAGCUUAAAGCUCCAUUAAAAUGGAGAUUGUACAGGAGCUUUAAGCUCCAUUUUAAUGGAGAAAACUAGAAGCGGGGGGAGGGGGAGCUGUUGGACUUGGGGUGGGGGAAGGGGGUGAUAAAUUAAAUAUAAAGGAAAAAAUUUAUUAAAAAAUAAAUAAAAUAUGAAAUUAAAAAUAUUUGACACGUGGCAUCACCUGAUUGGUGCGUGCAUUCACUCUCUUUUUUGUGACUGAGAUUCAGCGAAAAAUGAUGUAUUUGCAACGAAAUAAAGAAGAAUCGUGGGUUAAUAGGUCAAAAUUAAAGUUUAGGUGUCUUUUUACAAAAUUCGGACAAAAUCAGUGAGAUAAUUAUGUAUUUACUCUUUAUAUUAUGAAUACUUCUACUUAAUUCUUUAUCAUCGGACCCCUAUAUUCUCCAAAACAAAAAAAAUUUUAAACCCUUUUUACGAUUUAGGCCUCCUAUGUGGUAUAAACAACCAAGGAGCGGGUGCUAUAAAUAUUUUUGAAGCAUGAGACAUUAUAAAAAGGCUCAAUCAUCUUCUUUCCCAUUUACAUUUAACACCACUGUUGAAUAAUAUUAAGCUUUUUCUUACCUCUUUUUCGAUCGUCUCUCUUGAAAUUUCUUCUCCAUUAAUUUUUUUCUAGUCCUUACACAUUUCUUUUUUGUGCAUUUUCAUGUUAUUUUUUCCUUCAAUUUUAAUUUUGACAACUUUUUUUACUAUUGUGAACUUUAUGUCAUUGAAUACAAGCAUAGCACCUCUACAAAAACAUCUUACACUACACGAAACAAAGCAAAACCUUGGAAAUAUUUCAAUAAAAGCAAAUAUUAAUCAACAAUCUUAAAAUCAAAGAACGACACAAAUACUCAAACAAAAAGCAGCAACAAAACUUGACAGCAAAUAAUUAUGACUAUAAAUUGAAAACUUAAUUCGAUAGCUUGGAAAUCAAACAGAAACAAUAAGAAAACUCGAAUUAUUUAGUGAAAAUAAAAAAAAAUAGUAAAAAAAGAAAAGAAAAUGGGUGCCUACAUGAAUAACGGGUGAAUGAGAAGAUGUGAAGUUUUUAAAAUCUUUUAACUCUAUCCCGCGUCAUUUUGUACAUGUUAUUUUAGAAUUAUUUUUAAAAUUAUAUGUUAGCGUUAUGUUACACGCUCAAUUAAAUAGUCAAACUAAUUUAAAAAAUUACGUAACGAAAAAUUUAGAGAUUAAAAUGAUAAAGAAUUGAAUAAAAAUAUUCACAAUACAAACUCAAAUAAGUAUAAGUAUAUAUUUUUAAAAAUCAAACAACUAAAUAUGAUAUGUCAUGUGACCUUCAUUAUAAAAAAAAAGGCUUAAGUUAUAGACACGCACUUAAAGUUGUCCCGAAAAUUUAUUUGGACCCCUCAACAAUGGUAUGUACCUAUCAGGCACCUCAACUGCUAACACUAAUACCUAUCAAACACAAACAACUAAUUUGACAAGAAAAGUGUGUUACACUUUCGUUGAAUGCGUGAACAGUAGAAAAAAAAUACUAAUAUUUUAUUUUUUAAUUAAAAAAAUUAUAUUUAAAUUAUUUUAUUAAUCUAAUUUUUAAUUAUUUUAAUUUCUUAAUUUAAAAAUAAAAAGUCCAACCCCCAAUUCAUCUUGUCUUCACUCCCCCUCAUCGUCUUCUUCACAACACCCCCAAGUCAUCAUCGUCUUCACAUCUUUGUCCCCAUCAUCUUCAACCCCCCACCCUCCCCAUAGUCAUUGCUAACCCCCCNNNNNNNNNNNNNNAACCCCCCCCCCCUCCGCCGCCCCAUGCUGACAUCUUUUUUAUCCCAUUAUUGAUAUCAUUUUCUUCACACCCAUUUUUUGAUUUUAAAGCACUUUAAAAUUUAUAAUAUAACUAUUUCUAAACUUAGUCAUCUGAAAAUUUUAACAACUCAAUUGGUUGCUACUUGAAACUCACGCCUGUUGAUUAUGUUGAUUUUUCAUAUUGUAAUCUAUUCUCUAUAUUUAUAAGAGGAAGGGAAUGCCCUUCCACUACUUCCAAUUGAAAGAAAGGGUUUAACAUUCCUGGAAAUUACCCUCUCUUUCCUUUUGCUUAUUCCUUGUUUUAUACGAUAAUGCAGAAUAGCUACUUCUUCUUCUUCUUUGUCAGUAAUUUCUUGCAUAUUUAUCCAUGGCUUCUCAAUACAAAUCCACUCAAAAAUGGGAAUUUGAUACCUUCUUGAAUUUUGGAGGACAAGAUACCCGUUACAACUUUAUUAAACCUCUCCACAAAAAAUAGGAAACCAGUUUUUAAAAAAGGUUCAGCUUCUAUGGAAAAAAAAAAAGGGGAGGGGUGGGGGGGGGGGGAGAGGGCGAGGGGAGAGGUGUAAUUUACUUUUUUUUUUUUUAAUUCUAAAAUAAUUUAUUUUGGAGUUUAUUGUGGAGUAAUAUAUUUAAAAUAAUUUUUGAACCCACACGAUAUGUGUCAUUAUUUAAUUGAAUUUUUAAUUUAUACAGUAGUCUUUUUAAAAAAAAACGUUAGUCACGUAUUUUUUUUAUUGGUCAUUUUUGCCAUGUUAGGUAAGUGUGUUACACACGCUUUUUAAAAAAAAAAUUCGUUUGCCACGUAUUUUUUUUUAUUGGUCAUUUUUAUCAUAUCAUGCAAGUGUGUUACACACGCUUUAUAUCUUUUGUUGAUUGUUUAAAAAAGACUUAAUUGAAUCAAAAUUUGAGUGAAUUAAAAAUUUGAUAGGUACAUGUUUUAAUUAAGAAAUUUGAGUAAAUUUUUAAGAUAAUUUUAAGUGUUUAUUGAUGAUUUAAGCCUAAAAGAGAAUAUUGAGGAAUCAAACAUACAAUUUAAAGGGACAAUACAUUUGUUUUAUAGUUGACAUUAUUGUAUGUGAAAAUGACGGCGAUCGAUUUGAUCCCUCUAUUGUUUUAUUCAUAGAGCUAUAAUUUCUUUUUAUUUGUUCCUUUUCCAUAAUAAGUCAUAUUCAAACAAAAGUAGGGACAGCACCUUUGCCUGCAGCCAGUUAUUAGCUCAUUAAAAGAAUAAUCAAACAAAGGCUCAAAAAAAAAAAAAAAGAAUGUGAACUUGAUAUUAUUAGAGUCCGAAACUAAACUAUGCCAUCAAAUUAAAAAUUGCAUCAAAAUAUAUUAUAUAUUUAAAAUAAUACCAAACUAAAUAGUGAGUUAAGCAUAAUUUGAUACUUUUUAAAAUAUAUGGCAUACUAGAUAUAGAAAUUCAUAUCAGCACAAGUUUUAUAUAUUUUAUUUUUUUAUUUUAAUUUAAGUGGUUCAGAUAAAAUAUUAAAAUUAAAUUAAAUUUUUUUAUAAUUUUUAAAUAUUUUAAAUUAUUUAUAAUUGAUUUACAUUGUAGAAUUAUUAGAUAUUAUAUGUUACAUUUUUGUCUCAAUUUACGGAGCACUGAUGAAAUAUUUAAGAAAUUCAAUCAAAUUUGUUAAGUAUAUAGUUCUUUAGAUAUUGUACUUGUUAAUUAAUAUGAUAUUAAUAGAAUUUGAAAAGUCAAAAUAAUUUUUUAAAAUAUCCUUCAAAUAUUUUGAUUUAGUAUUAUUGUGAUUUAUAUUACUUUUUAUGUCAUUUUCAAAUAAUAUAUAACUUCCUUUACCUCAAUUUAUGUGUGCUGCUAGAAUCUCAAAUCAAUCAAAAAAAUUUAUGUGCUUUGAAAUAAUUUAAAUUGCUAAGUAUUAUAAUUUUAAAUAUUAUUAUAUAAUUUUUAAAUACAUAAAAUAUNNNNNNNNNNNNNNNNNNNNNNNNNNNNNNAUUAUAAAAUUUCUCUCGAUCAGAAGUCGACAGUUGAAAACAGAUAUGACAACUAUCAAUCGCUUGCUUACUCGCGUUUCUAUAGUAAAACUAGAUACAAAAGGCCCGUGGAAUAUUUUAAGUAUACGACAAAUAAAAUUUGGAGGCAACCAUAUAUUUUUUAUAUUCUUAAAUACUUUAAGUUAUACUUUAUUCAUAAUAUUCACAUAAUAUAUGUUAUAUAUUUUAUUUAAAUUUAUGUGGUGUAAAUAAAAUUUUGAAAGUCAAUAUAAAAUAUUUUAUAUUACGUACAUUAUAGAUAUUUUAAAUUGUUACUUAUUGCGAUUUAUAUUAUUUUGAACAUAAUUUUCACUUAGUAUAUAUUACUCUUUUUGUCUCAAUCCUUAUGGAUGUUUUGACGCGAUAAAUUCAAGGUCAAAUACAUCGACAAAUUCCUUAAUUUGGCAGGAUUUUUCACUUUGACACCUAAGGUGAAUAUUGUUAAUUUUAAGCACCCAAACCAACUACAAAGUGUGUCAUUUUGAUACUUUUUUGCAUCAACUCUAGCACGUGAAUUGUACUCGCUUUUAACAUGGAUUAAAUGACCAAUUAAUUUGUGUCACCUCAUUUUAAAUUGUCAUAUCAUUAUAUGCAUACAUAAUUAUUUUUUUAUAAAAAAAAAUAAAACACAUUACAAGGUGUCCAAUGAAUUAAUGACACGUGGCUUUUGACCACAAUAUUACAAAAGUACUUUGACUUCAUCUUCUUCACCCAACCAUUCUUCAAGCUUAACCUCCAUCAAUGAAAGUUGAAUUUUUCAAGAAUGAUAAACAUACCUCCUCAUUCUUUUACGGAUGAUAGAUCCUGACACUGACGCAUAGUUCAUUGAUUAAAAUGCACCAUAAGAGCAUAUUUUUUACUUAUAAACAUACGUACACCUGGCUCAUCAGACCUAUCCGGGCAGUCACAAAAAUCAUCAUUGAGCUGAGCUUUAGUGAAUUUCUUUGACCCAUCUUUGCAUUUUGUAGCACCAGAUGUUAAACCCUCGUAAUAAUUCUCAACUGCAAUCAACAACAAAUCUUGAUGACUAUUUUCACUUAACAUCAACAAAAUCAUCAAAAACAGCUAAAUUAACAAUUAUUUCUACAGAAAAAAUUUCAUAUCACAAAAUGGGGUCAGCUGCACUUCCAUCAACAAAACUAAUCAUUAUCUCAACAGAAAAUUUGAAAAUUUCGCCCAUUUCCAUCAAAACAGCAAAAUUAACAACUAUUUCUAUAGAAAAGUAAAAGCUUUUUCUAUCCAAAUUUCAUUCACCUUGCGACUAGGAAUUAAAUUCCUUUAAAUUGUAUCUGAUUAAAUAUGUAGAUCGAUUCAUAACCUUUCAAGCACAAUCAUUUAAAAAUCACGAAACGAUUCAUCAAAAAAUAGCAAAUUUAGCAAUUAUUUAUUAAAUAUCAGCUCCAUUUGCAUCAAAAACAGCUCAAUUAACAAUCAUUUAUACUAAAAGAAUCUGAAAUCAAGAAAUGGGUCAUUAAUAGCUUCCCGAACUUCUUUAAACAUGCUCUUAUGAUGAAAAAAUGGUGAAAUAUGGUGGGAUGAAAAAAUAGGAAAGAAGGUGAUAAAAUUAAAUGAAAAAUGGGCUAAAAUAAAGUUGCCAUGCGUCAAAAAACGAGUGUUAUACACCCACUUUACUGAAUCAACAAAAAGUGUCAAAGUGACACAGUUUAUGGCUACUUUAGGUGCUUAAAAUGAACAACGCCCAUCUUAGUUGUCAAAGUGAAAGAACGUGCUAAGUUAAGGGACCUGUCAAUGUGUUUAGCCUAAAUUCAAGGUGAGGUGCCCUACUAUUUUCUUUUUUCGGAUGAUGUAGUUUUGAUUGAUAUGAUGAGGCACAUGGUGGAGUUAAUGCUAAAUUGAAGGUUUGGAGGUAAAUUUUUGAAUCUAAAAAAUUUAGAUUGAGUAGGUCCAAAACAGAAUAUUUGAUUGUAUUACUUGAUGAACUUAUAUAUGGUAUUAUUAAGUGUGUCGAUUUCUAUUAUAUCUUGUUAUUUUUUAUCUAGAUUGUUUAUCUUGAAUAGGGGAACUAUUGAAAAUAAUAUUUUUAUCUCAUCAUUGAUAUAAUAAUAUGAAUUGCAUCUACUUAUUCUUUUAGAUCCCACUUGAUAAGAAUAUAGUGAGUAUGUUAUUGUUGUAUGAAUCGUGAAAGUGAACCACAAAAAGAGAAAAAGAUGAUCACCCAAAAUGUAAAAGUGGGUUCCACAUAUAUUAAAGAAUUAAAAUAAUGAAAAAAUGUACUGUGAUAAACUAAAUUUAGGCCGGACAUUUUGUCUAAUAUCGAAAAUGUACACAUGCCUAAAAAAUUUAGAUGCAACAACGUGAACAUCCAAAAAUAAAACAUACCUAAAAUACCCCUAAAAGCACUCAUAAUUUCAUAAAGCACACAUGACAAUCAUAAGUUCUGUGCUUGCUCACAAUUCUAGUAGAUAGUAAUAAUAUGUUGGAUUACUUCAUUUUAUUUUACUUCCACAAGUAAGUCCAUAACAUAAAUUUUGAGAAACAAGAAAAUAUAAUAUGAUACUAUAUGAAGUAUUUUAAAAACAUUCAUAAUGCCUCAUCCGUUGUAUUUUAGUUGGCCGUUUUAUAAUUUCUUAAAUAUUGUGUAAAAUAAAAAGUGAUCGAUUAAAAUGGAAUGAAAAACCCGAUAACGUCAUUUUAACAUUCACAUCAACAAAUCAAUCAUGCCAAAAUAAGAGGAGGAUUUCCAGGUGGGAUCGUUGGCAAACUGCUUUCAAAACUUUAAUAGCAUUCAUCCUUUUGGGUUGGAUUUUCAUUUUAUUGUCUUGCCUCAUCCUUGAGGUUUUGAGCACGUCCACCAAUAUAUGUGGAUGCAAAAUGGAUAACUGUGUAUUCUAAUAAGCAUGGAUUUCCCAUAUUAAUUAAAAGAGAAAACGGUCAAAAGCCCCCCAACCUAUAUCCCAAAUUUCAACUACACAUUUAUACUUUGCGAGGGUCCUAUGAUCCCCUGAACUAUUUUAAAAUGAAAUUAUUACCCCUCCGAAUUAUUUUAAAGUGGAAUAUAUACCCGUCUAAAAGCUCAUACCCAGAUUUUAUUUUAAUUUGUGGUCUACAUGCGCUGCCACGUGUCAUGCCACGUAAUUCCACGGUAUAUUACUUUUUUUACUAUAAAAAAUUAAUUACUUGUCCUUUUCUCUUCUUCUUCCCGACCUAUUUGACUCUCUGGCCGUAGUUAUUUAGGUGGUAUUCCGAGAUCGAAUUCCUCCCGGGAACACACAAAACAAAGAUAUGAACUGGGUAAAUAGAAAUGGAAAAGAGAUGUUCUAUUUCAUCCAAAUUAGUUGCUUUUUCUACUAUUAGAAGUUUAGAACACAAGCCAAGAAACUCAAAACCACAACACAAGCUUCUUCUUUUUCUUCUUCAAUGGCAUAAUAAAUCAUAUGAAAUUCACACGAUAGGUAAUCUUAUCAAAAUCAAAUCAAUAAUUAAUGUCCAAAAAAAAUUCAAUUUUCACAAAAUGACGUCAAUUAAUUUUCAUAAAAUAGUCACUAUUUAUUUGUAAUUAGAACAAAAUUCUUAUUUGGACUUACUUAGUCUUUACAUAUACUCCAUGUCAUGUUGCUAAUUACCUGUUUCAAGUAAAUAAUUAAUUAAGUCGCAGGGCCAAAUUCAUCCAUAAAUCAAUUUCCAGUUAUCAAGAGAAUUAUUUUAAUAGAAAAUGGAUGGACAAACAUUUAAGCACAAACUUUUUCCUUUUGCUCUUAUCAUGGGAUUCUCAAGAUCCAACAUAUAUACUAAACCUUGUAUGUCAGUUUCCUUAAUGUUUUCACAGCCCGAAUUUAUUUUUUUCGAUGAAUUUCAGCAUUCUCAACGUCAAUCAAUUUUUGGGAAUCUAAGAAAUGAUUCUAACUAAGAAAUUAAUUCAAAAUUUUCAAUCUGAAUUGAUUUAACAUUCUCAACGUCAAUCUGAACUGGUUCUAUGAAGUCGGAACAAGUCGAUUUUAUGCUUUGAGAUGAGGAAGAUGAUAAAUUAGUCUUGAAUGUCAUUGAUGAGUUUUGGAUGCCAUUGAAGAAGAAAUGUCAUUGAUGGGUUCUUGGAUUCCACUAAAGAAGAAGAAGAAGAAGAAUUGAAGAAUAAGAAAUGAAGAAGAAGAAUUGAAGAAGAAGAAUUGAAGAAGAAGAAAGAAAAAUAAUAAUUGACAUUGAUGGGUUCUUGGAUGCCAUUGAAGAAGAAGAAGAACAAGAAUUGAAGAAGAAAAAUGAAGAAGAAGAAGAAGAAGAAAGAAAAAUAAUAAUUAAAAUUAUAUAUAUUUAUUUAAAGAAAUAUUAAAAAUAAUUUUUUAAUAAAUUAUUUUCGUUCUCACUCUCUUGCCAUGUCAGCGUUUGGGGGUAAUAAUUUCAUUUUAAAAUAGUUUAGGGAGGUUAUAGGACCCCCGCAAAAUAUAAAUGUGUAGUUGGGAUUUGGGCUAAAGAUUGGGGGGCUUUUGACCAUUUUCUUUAAUUAAAAUACCCCCUCCGUCCCAUUUUAUGUGUCGCCAUUUGACCGGGCGCGGAGUUUAAGAAAUAAGGAAAGAUUUGGUAAAAUUUACCAAAUUAUCCUUUAUAAAAAAAAAUGUCAAUAUAUUUUUUUUAAUUAAGUGGGACCAAUAAAGAUAAAAGGGUAAUUAUAUCUUCAAAAAGUUGCCAAAUAAGGAAAGACGACACUUAUUUUGGGACGAAUUAAAAAAAAAAUAAUGACACAUAAUUUGAUUACCUCUUACCAGAUUUAUUAACGUGGAGUCAUGUGAAAACUACGUAAUUAAAAUUUCUCCUUUCCUCCUAUAUUUUUAACAUACAGUGAAGUGUCACUACAUAAUAAUGAGAAAAUGUGACAUAAAAUGUGAAGCAAAGUAAUGAUUUUCUAUCUAUCUAUCUAUCUAUCUAUCUAUCUAUCUAUAUAUAUAUAUAAAAGUGUGAACACCCCUUAGAAAAGUGAUUUAAACUUUUUGCCCUUAAUUAAAAGAUUUCACAAUAGACAAAAUCGUCUUUUUACUAAAUUUCUUCAAUUAUUAUAUCAUAGUCUUUAUAUUAUUUAUUAUUAGCCAUAAUAAAUAUGUAAGAUUCACUUUUAGAUUAGAAUUCAAUAUCAAUUAAAAUAGUAUUACACGUCGUAUUUUCUUUAUUUAGAUUUAUUAUCCACUUUAGGUUAGGAUAUUCUACCAAAGUUAUCACUUUAGGUUAACUAGGACAAUAUAUAUUCUACACAAAUUUUUGUGGACUACAAAGAAAAAAAAAUUAGGUUGAGACGUUUAGGUUUCACAAUUUAAUGCCACUUUUAGUUUUAAUUUUUCUUUACUAAUUAAUUUUACUAUUACGUUAGUUUGAUUAAAAAAUUAUGUUAUAUUUUCUUUGUAUUGGUUGAUAGGAUUUGCAUGUAAUUAUUUUUGUAUGAAGGUUAGGUUUAAUUGUAUUGUUCUAACAUCUUGAUAAUUGUGUUGUUGUAGUUUCUAUCUCGUUACUAUAUGCUAUUUUUUAAAAUUAAUACAAGUGGUCAAUGAAUGUUCGAUCAGACUUUGAGUAAUUUUUGUAUAAAUUUAAGGUUUAGUUGUAUCGUUCUGACGUCUCGAUUAUCGUAUUGUUUUGUUGUUGUUUCUGUUCUAUUGAUAUCUGCCAUUUUUUCUGCUUAAUACAGGUGAUAGAUGAAUGUUUCAUCGGGCUUUGAGAAAUUAUGUGUAAAGGUUAGGUUAAAUCAUAUUGUUCUAAUAUUCGAUUACCGUAUUGUUAUUAUGUAUUUUCUGAUUUCUCGAUUAUCGUAUUGUGUUGUUGUAGUUUCUGUUUUGUUGCUAUUUGCCAUUUUUUCUGCUAAAUACAGGUGAUAGAUUAAUGUUUGAUCGGGCUUUGAGAAAUUAUGUGUAAAGAUUAGGUUAAAUCUUAUUGUUCUAAUAUUCUAUUAUCAUAUUGUUUGUUGUAUAGUUUUUAUUUGCUAUUUUUUUUUUAGUACUUCAAGUGAGAAAUGAAUGUUUGGUUGAGCUUUGAAGAAUUUUUAUGUAAAGAUUAAGUUUAAUCUUAUUGUUCUAAUAUCUUGAUUAUCUAUCCCAUUUUUAUUUUCUAUUUUUCUGCUUAAUACAUAUGGUAGAUGAAUGUUCGAAUGAGCUUUAAAAAAAAUGUGUAAAAGUUAGAUUUAAUCAUAAUUGAACAACAUAUUUAGAUGUAUUUUUAAUUUUCACUCUUAACAAAAAUAUUGUGAAAAAAAUUUCAUCAAAGAUGACUGGUUCAGUGUAUUGCCAACAAAUCGAUAAAGAGGACAAAAUAUUACACAUCUAAAAAUUGUUAGUAGCCAUUAGAUUAGGAGAGUCUAAAUCAGAAUUUUGAGGACGAGAGAAGAGUGCAUUUGGAUUAUUAGUAACAACAAAAGUAAGCUUACUUAGAACUGAGUCGUUGCGGUUUAUAGGAGGCAUAAGAAUAUUUGUUUUGUUAGGGAUAUUAACUGCACAACGAAUCUUAAACUAAGAUAUUUCAGAGGCAUCGAUAAAGAUGACAUGUAACUGAGGACAGUGAGGACGUUAUGGGCAAACUUAAGGAAAGUGGUCAUAAUUUUCUCCAUAGUUGAAUUUUGAUUCUUCUACGGAAGCUUGAAAGGAAGAGUGAACGGUUGAACACUAAAAAGUAUGUGGAAUUUGAAUAGUGUGACUUAAUUUGGAACGAAUGAGAGAUCUGACCAGUCCAUAUUAUUAUAUAUGAAUGAACAAUAUCUAAAUAGUUAACAAAAGAUUGAAACAACAAUAAAAUUUGAAUAUAAAUUCACCAAAUCUUGGACCUCUUCAUUCCAAAAGAGGUGCAAUACUAUUGUUAUUGUUUGAGAACUAUCUAUUCCUUUUUACUCAAAACAAGAAUCUUUUAAAACAUUACAAUUUAUAUUACUUUUAUUAAAAUUUAAAUAUCUAAGUAGAACAAGAAAAUCAAUACACGAUAUAAAAUCAGAUAGAGUACUUUAGAGUUUAGACAUUGUAUUCCUCUUUAGUGAUAAAUUCCUAUAUGACUCUCAAUAAUUUUAAUAAUAUCCUAUUUACUAGAACAAAUCCACCAACAAAUUCUUUAAAAUUAAUAGUGAUAGGAGUCACAAAGAUAAUUUAAGUGGAUGAUGAUGAUGAUAAAAGAUUCAAAGGAAAGAUGAUAAUGACCUAUUCUAUUCACUUUCACGAGUAAUAUUGCAGAAGUUAAAACUCUACAAUUUGAGGUUCAAUGAUAUAUAACAUAUCCAAGGCUUAUCUCUUUCUCUUUUUCUUCUUUGCUUAAAUAAGAAAAAAGUUGACUUUGCAAUGUUAGUUGCAGUAUGAAGUUUGUCAUGUCUCCAUGAUAAGUUACAUAAAAAUUAGGGAUGAGAUAAUAUAUAAAUAUGACUCUAAAUUUGACACCAAAUUAUAAUUUUGACCUUAAACUUUGAUAGUACACAAAUAGGACCUUUAACUAUUCAGAACCUGAACGAAUAUGACCUCCGAUUUUGCAACCUUCAUGCGUGAGUUUCACUCGCGCCUAUGUGGAAAAGUAAUCCAAUCACACUAUGUCACAUCGUUAAAAGGGCUGACUUGGAGGGAGAUCAUAUUUGUGCAAUUUUGAAUAGUUAAAGGUCAUAUUUGUGCACUGUCAAAGUUUUAUUUUUUGUGUUAAAACAACGUCGUUUUUAUUAUUAUUAUUAUUAUUAUUAUUAUUAUUAUUAUUAUUAUUAUUAUUAUUAUUAUUUAUUUAUUUAUUUAUUUAGGGAUCGAACCCACGCAGUAGGCUGAAGGAAGCACCCAAGAAGAGCAAACAACACCACUGGGCUAUCUAAGUGUCUUGUUUCAUGUGGUUCAACAUUAAUAUACGUACAUAAAUAUAGAUUUUCUACCUUAUAUAUACAAUGUCAUUUUUUUACCGAGGGGCUUCGGGUGAACCCCAUGACAACCACUUAGGUCCGCCCCUGCGUUAAUUUAAUAACAUUUUAAUAACGUUAAUUUGAUAACAUUAAUUUAAUAUACUACUACUAGUAUCCUUAAUAAUGUUAAUUUAAUAACGUUUUAUUAAAACUAUAGUUUUUUUUUAUUAUUAGUAUAGUUUCAUCUUUAAUUUAAUAGUUAAAUAAAUUAUAUUUAGAUAUAUUAUAUAACUUAAAUUCACCUUUUGCUUUAUAAUAUAUAUACAUACCUGUGCGAUUUUUUCGUAUGAGGUUGACCCACCUGUUUAAUAAAUCUUCAAUAUUGCUCUUUUUCUGCAAUGACAAAAGAAAUUAGAUGUCAUUUUAAUCUUUGAGCCGAAAAUAAUGAAUAAAUAAUAGUGAAAAGUCAUUUAAAGGUUAUAUUUGUGCAGUUUUGAAUAGUUAAAGGUUAUAUUUGUGCACUGUCAAAGUUUAAGGUCAAAGUUAUAAUUUGGUGUCAAGUUUAGGGUCAUAUUUAUGUAUUAUGCCCUUAGAUUUUAAGCUGGACGUGCCCAGUUUUGCGUGUUGAAUACGCAUUUUACCACGUAGGAUCGGAGGUCAUAUUUGUGCAGUUUUGAAUAGUUAAAGGUCAUAUUUGUGCACUGUCAAAGUUUAAGGUCAAAGUUAUAAUUUGGUGUCAAGUUUAGGGUUAUAUUAUGUAUUAUCUCAUCAGGGAUUGUAUCUCACCCUUAUAAAUAGGUAUCGUGCAUUUUUAUCAUUAAUUUAAUAUUGGUAAUUCUUCUUUUAUUUUCCAUCGUUAUCAUUGUCGUCGCCUUUUGAAACUCUUCUAAGUAGACAGUUGCCAAAAGUAAAAAAGAGUUACUGAUUUAAAAAAGAUAAUUAUUGUUUUGGAUAACUAAGAAACAUAAUUAAAAAAAAUAAAAAAUGGAGGUGAAUGUGAGAGAAAGCCUCAAAAAUCCUAUUGUUCUCCUUACACAAAGUUGUAUAAAUAUUUAUUUUGAUCUUCUAUGGGUAGUAUAGGUAGAAUAAGAACAUAGAGAGGCCAACUUAAAUAUCAUAGACUGCUCAGAUUUUCACAAUCUUGAAAAAUAUUAGUUUCAAAAAAAUUUCAUACUCUUAUAAUGUAAAAAUGUUUUCAGAUUUCAUUUGUGUUAUCAUAUGUUUUUAGUAACUCGGAAAAGGAAAGACUAAAGUUUGUAAUAAUGAGACGAGUAAAUAUAGUUGUAAGAGGCGAGCGGGUGAUAACUUAAUAGUGAUUGUUAAUUGAAAAAUGGAAUUUGAGAUUGUAUGUAUCCUUAAAAUUUGAAUUUUUUUUUGUCUUAGUUCAUUUUUCGGUUGUAUGACCACAUAGGAACAAACAUCCACAUAAUCAAUAGUCUCACUGGUUCAAUUUAGUUUUGAUUUCAUUUCUUUUGAGUCGAGAAUCUAUUAAAAACAGUCUAUGAUUGUGUAGUCAUAUGAGAUCAUUGCUUCCACAAGCAUUAAUAAUUUCACUGGUUCAAUUCUGCUUUGAUUUUAUUUCUUUUGAGCUGAAGAUCUAUCAAAAAUAGUCUCUUUACCUCACAGAGAUAGGCGCCUCACAAAAGAAAGGGUAAGCUCUGUACAUUCUACCCUCUACUUGCGGGAAAAAUGUCUUUUUACAUCAUAGAGAUAGGGGUUUCACAAAAGAAAUGAUAAGAUCUACGUAUAUUUUAUCCUCUACUUAUACGAUUACACUAGAUAUCUUAUUGUCGUUGUGUUAUUACUUUUAAAUUAUUUUAUUUUUCUUGCAUGGAGUAUAAUUUUACUUAUUAACACGACAUACACGUGCAAAGCACGUAUACUAAACUAGUAACAAAAAAUAGGUGAGGGAAAAAAAAUAGUAAUGCUAGUGAAGGUAGGUAUCCUAGUUUAUUUUUAUGUGAUCCUAGAUUUAAGAAGCAAAAUUUAUUAAUGGAGUACGCAGGUUUCUUAGAUUUUCUUAGUGGUCCUAUGAAGCGUGCAUUACGAAGACGGGCGGGCGGUUCAGUUUUUUCGUUUGGUUUUUCGGAAUUUUGAUCCUAUUUUUCGGUUUUCUUUUAUGAAAGGGAUAGCAAAAUUGAACCGAAUUAGUUAUCCAGUACGGUUCAGUUCAGUUUGAUUUUUUUUAUUAUGAAUCUACUGGUUGGAAUAUCACUGGAAAUUGGUUGGAAUCGUGCUGGACACAAAAAAAAAAAAAAAAAUUGAUUCAAAAUGGACUACUAUAUAACAGCAAACAGCCAUCAGGAGUCUAGAACAACACUUACACUGAAAAAAAAUUGAACACAAGUAGAAAAAAGAGAAAACUAGCUUAUACUGAUGUGACUAGAAGAGUGAUUCAAAACGUCAUUAAGAUUAUUAUUAUGAAGUGAUAAGUACUUCUAUGUUUUUAAUCAAAGAUUUUUGAUUUGAGCUUUGAGAAUUCACCUUUGGUAGAAAUUGUUUUACUCUCAUAGUAAGACUUUCCGACACAAACUCACAUUAGUCUAACUCAAAUACAAACACGAACCCCACAUAAAAAAAACAAAAGAACGACAUUAUUCAAAACAUGAUUAAAAGGACCACAUUGAGUGAUGUUUGAUUGGAUGGCUAAACUUGUCCUUAUUGCCUGUGUCAACUUUUAAGGUUCUAUAUUCGAACCUCAGGCCUCAGCCACUCAACGGUAUAGUACUCUCUCUAUGUUCCAAUUUAUUUUUUUAGUUCUAAUUUAGUAUUGACUAUAAAAAAAAAAGUUAAAUUUUGUGGUUUUAAAUUAAAAAUAUGUAGAAUAUAUCAAAAUAUUUUUAAAAUUAUGUAAUUUUAAACAUGUCACAUGAAAAAUAGAACUAGCUAUAAGUUACCCAAAGAAAAAAGAAUUCUCACGCAUAUAAAAUAAAUCAAAUUAUCCAGGAUAAUCCCUUAACAAAUGGAUCUAGCCAGCUUAGCUUGUUGGAUAAUAUGCACAUACCUUAAUUUAUUAAUACUGUUCAAGUAGAACUUUUAGUAGUGAUUUUUAUCCUUUGAAGCCAUACAAUACAUGCACUAAGAUAUUGUCCUUUCUUUAUCGAAACGAAGAUAUAUAGCAUAAUUUAUAGUAAUAUAUAUCCAGGUGAAUUACAGCCAAAUUUUAAACUAAAGUUACCCAAGUAUAUAUUUAGAGUACAUCUAUAGCGAGUGAUGCUGCUUUUUAUACCAAUAUAUAGCUAUCAAAGUUCUCCAUGAGAUUGAGAGUAAUAACAAAACAAAAUUAGUAUCUACGAAGCGGACUCACUAUUGUUGAGGCGUAAGCGUAUUCCCUUGAAAAUUUUCCUAUAUAUACAUCGUCAUCAUGAUACACCUCUUAUAACAAUCCACAAAAUGAGAGAGAUUAUAAUUAGCCUUUUAUCUCUGGCUUUGUUCCUCCUUAAGGUCUCAGCCAAGCUAUCUGAUGUUCCCUUUUAUUUACCAGCCAAUGAAACCCUUGGCCUUAAACUAAUAAGGGAACGUAAUACGUCAGACCUAGCCCAGUCAUUAUUAGCACAGAGUCGAUGCGGAUGGCCAGGUGGCGGUAGAUCGUGUCCUACUGGACAGUGUUGUGAUUUUGAUGGUUGGUGUGGAACCGGUGAUGCCUAUUGUGAUGAAGAUGAGUGUGAUUUCCAGUGUCCAGGUCCGAUCCCAGUGGGACGAUGCGGAAUGCAAGCAGGUGGUCGACCAUGUCCUACUGGACAGUGUUGUCGGGAUUCAGGUUGGUGUGGAACCACAGAAGAAUAUUGUAAUCCUCUACGCUGUCAAAGCCAAUGUUCAGGACCUUAUCCAUCGGGACGUUGUGGAUGGCAAGCUGGUGGGAGGAAAUGUCCUACUGGAUUAUGUUGUAGUCUCUCUGGUUGGUGUGGAACCACUUCAAUCUAUUGUUCUCGUGAAGAAUGUCAAAGUCAGUGAGAAAGGCCACCACCACCCCCGUCUCCACCACCCCCACCCCCACCAUUCCCACAGGGACGAUGCGGAAAGCAAGCUGCUGGUAGAGCAUGUCCUACUGGAGUGUGCUGUAGUAUAUGGGGCUGGUGUGGAACCACACGUAACUACUGUGUUUCUCCCUACUGUCAAAGUCAGUGCAAGGGCGGUCUAACCUCGUACAACAAGAAUCGCUUCAGAGGCAUUGAAAGCUUAUUGCUCAAUGCUCUCUAGAUGCUUGCUGCCUUCUGUAUUCCCUAGACCAUGUACUUCUACUCCUCUUUUGGGACUGGA
RNAcentral lists this long non-coding RNA (57958 nucleotides) under Capsicum annuum. Its description in RNAcentral is "long non-coding RNA (CANN_LNC004024)". The record is from RNAcentral. Lineage: Eukaryota; Viridiplantae; Streptophyta; Magnoliopsida; Solanales; Solanaceae.